GGUAGUUCAGGAAGCGGUGGCAAUUCGACUUUCGGCAAUGAUGGGAAUUCUGGCUUUGGCAAGCUAGGGAUGUCAGGAAGGUGAGGCAAUUCAGGCUUCGGUAGUUCGGGCACUUCGGGCAAGGUCGCCUCCAAAAGUUGGCGGGCUCUGACUGGGUUCUCACCAAUCGUCAAAGACAGAGCGAGGACAAACAAUGCCAAAAGGUGCGUGAGUCCAUGAUGGUUCGUCAUUGGAGAAUCAAUCGACUAGCAAAUUCAAAAGCUUUGAGUGAAGAAGCGGCGAAUCUCGAGUGAGAGAAUCUGCAGGUGUGCUUGAGCAAUGGCUUGAUGGAGGGCUUAUAAGGAGGAGAGACGUGGAGGAUUGGGGAGAAUGCAAGUAUGGUUUGGUGGGAAUAUUAUCAAAGGGUUAGGUCAACUUCUAAACCAAUCUCAUUUUUGUACGUUCAACAGCAAGAUGGAGCAUAUUAUUCCAAAAGGAGCUUGCCAAUUCUUGGCUUUUCAGGCUUCUGACUACCUGUCGAGGCCAGAAAGAGGGAGAAAAAAAGAAAAGAAAUGGUUUAUGAUCUCACUAUGUACAACAGGACCGGAGUCUUGGAGUCUUAAAAUAUUGGAAAAGCUAAUCAUGUAAGAGCAAAAUAAUAAAUAUUGUCCGUGAUAAUUAUUCGUGGAAUCUUUACUUGAUGUAAGGAUUACUCAAGUGUUAAGCAUGUAUGUUUUCGUCUGAGGCCUAGGUUCGAAUCCUCACAAUUGUGCAUUCUUUUGGACGAUCUUUGAGAACAUAGGUAUGUAUGAAUCCGAUUAUUUCUCAUUUGUGUCGGAUAAAACUACUCUUGCCGGAAAAAAAACAAAACUUUAGGUGACAAAUUUUUAGGGACAGACAUAAAAAGAGAUCCUUAAACAGAGUUUCUAGUUAGGGGUGAGUAGUUCUAAGGUUGGUUUAGGUUUCCACUUAACCAGAACUUGGAAUUUACCCUAUUGAGAUCGGUUUCCCAAUUUUUGAAACUUAAAACCUAUCAUGUAUAUCUUAAAAUUUAUGACCUGCUCUAUCAAUCGAAUCUAAAGUCUAUUAGGGAACCGGCCGAUUUCUCUUCUUCUUCUUCUUUUUUUCAUUUUUUCUUCAUUUUUCUUGUUUCAUUUUAGUCAAGCAAUAGAGAGAACAUGACAACAAAAAUCAUCAUUUGUCAAUAACAAUAAUCUAUAAAAUAUUAGCACCUAAAAUAAAAUAAACAAUAAAAUGUUGAAAACGCAUAAUGUAGAAUCCAAAUUUCAUGCUCUCAAAGGAGUCAAAAACCACGAUAAAAACCAAGGAGUCGAAUGAAGGAACUUUCUUUUUAUUUGAGCCUCGUGUAAGUUCAUGCCAUGCUCUAUUUUAGGAGUACCUUGGUUCUUGUUCUAGUUCUCUGAUUUUCAGUCUGAUUCGCUGAUUCUUAGUUCAAUUCUAUUCAAUUCUUAAGAAUCGCAUAAUACAAGUUCCAAAAAAUAUGAAACCGAAAGCUAUGCUUGUUAGAACCUAGAGAUAGGCCGAUUCCCAUGACCUGUUUGAUCUUUCUUGAUUAUACUUGGAAAAUUUGCUCACCCUCAACUUCUUGUUCCGUCCCUACGGAAAUAUUGAACGAGCCAUCGUUAAUGGUAAUAGUGUAAAUGAUUCAGUUUGGUUCGGUUUUUUCGGAAAACCCAACCAAACCGAACCGAUAAAGAAAUUUAUUGAAUCGAACUGAAAUUACAUCCAAAUCGAAACCGAAUCGAAUCGAAAUCUUGAUUCAAUUUAGUUCAAUUUUUACUUUUUUUUUUGUUUUUCUUUUCCCUACCCCUUUUAAUAAAUUUUUUAUAUUUUAGAAAAAUCAAAUUUUUAAUUAUUUUUUUCUUUUUUUCUUCUUUUUUCCUUUUCUUUCUCUUCUUCAUUCGCUAGUCACUAACUGCCACCGUGGCUGGCAAUUAGCCAAUGAAGAAGAAGAAAAAGAAAAAAGAAAAAAAAUAAAAAUAAACAAUUUAAAAAAAUAAAAUGAAAUAUUUUAGAUUUUAUUGGUUUGGUUCAAUUAACCAAACUGAUAAAAACUGAACUAGUUAAAAAAAUUUCGAUUUUUAAUGAAAAUCGAAUAGAUUGAGAAUCAAACCGAAAAAAAAAAAAAAUCGACAUUUUCGGUUUGGUUCGGUUUUUGACACCCAAGUGAAUGGGCUAGGGGAUAAAUCUAACAUGAAAACUUCAAGUGAAAUCCCAACCUGAAAUAAGAGAAGCGAAGCCCGUCGCAAAAAGAGAAGCCCACCUCCCACUUGAUUUUCUCCCGGCCUCUUCCUCUCCCUUUCCACCCUGCAAAAAGCUCAGCUCGAGUUUCUAUCGGUGUCUCCUUCGCACUCCAGCUGCAGCUCGUCGAUCUCGCGGACGAGAGCUUCUUCAGAUCCGGAUUCCCCGUCGGCUUUCUCCUUCACGGUCUCCGCAGGUCACUUUUCCCUCUCUCUCUCUCUCUCUCUCUCGCGCGCGCGCAUUUCUCUGGCCAAUGUGGGGAGACGAUUCGCGAAGCGGUCGACUGGGGCGGAUGUUUGGAUCGUGGGUUGUGGGAGUUACCGGGUCGGGUCCUUCGUUUCCCCUUAUCUUCUCACUUUUGGGGGGCAUAGCUCAUCUGGGUUGCUCUUGCCAACGAACUAACCCGGCGUGGUUGUAGGCGGUGCCGUGUCUUGUGAGUGCUUGCCCACCUUGUGUUCGCCAUAAUGUUUCACUGGAUUUAUGUAGAGGAGGAGGGUUUUCCAGACUCCUAUUUGCUUCUCUAAUUAUACAUUUUCACGCUUAGUAUUAGGUGAAAAUACCAUACUAAGCAUGACAUGAAAUGUUAGAAUAAUUAAUUAACUUAAUUUUUUAGAACAGUAGUUGAUAUUAGUCCCACAUAAUCUCACUGAACGAGAGAGAGAGAGAGUAAAAGCAGAGACGACCCCACACAACAUACCUACUUUGGCUGCCCAUCAUAAAUUAGAACGUUAACUGACAUGUUCUCGGCGGAGGCAUGGUGGCGAUGAGGUACUGAUGCUGAACUCCACUUCAAUGCCAAUGCCAAUCUGGGUUUUUUCUUCUUUUGUUCGUCUGCAUUAGCUCUUUCACAAGUGCUUGGAACUUCAUCAAUAACCAAUGAAACGCUACCACAGAAGUUUCUGACACCAUAUCUCAAAUAUGAUGCGAUCCUCAUCCCUUAUAUGUAGUGGAAUUUUAAGUACAGAUGUAUCUAUAUUAACACAGGUUUGAAAACUAGUCUGAUAUAUUCCGACCAAAAUGAGAAAAAAAAAACUUGUCCGAUAUAUCAUCAGCCUUUUGAACGUUACAUGCAUUCAAUCUAAUGAGAAAGAUUCUUGUCUUUUGCAAAUAGAAUGAUUAGGUAAUUUCAAGAAAAGUAGAGAAUUUAAAGGAAAGUCUUUGAGAAUCUCAAUCUAAUUACCAAUAUUUAGAUGAUAUUGUUUAUGACUUUGUGUAGUAAAGUAGAACAUGUAUAGAGAGAAGUCAAUAUACUUUUUCAAGUUAAAAGAAAUAAAAAUAGUUUAUGAUAUAUUCAACUAUCGUAAAAAUAUGAACUAUAAAUAUAUAUAGUGAAUUUAAAAUUUAAUAUAUGACAAAUGAUCAUACACUAUUCGAUUGUAUAAUAAACAGCACAUUUUACAUUUUUGUUGAUAUUCUUUUUCACAAUUUAAAUUCCAUGACUAUUGUCAUUCUUAUAACUCUAAAACUAUGAAAAGUUUUCAUAUAAGUUGGAUGUGAAAAGAAGUAGACAAGGAGUUUUAGCAAACAUAAAUUUCAAUAUUUUUGAAAGUAUAAAACUCAAGCAACGCAUGGACAAGUGCACUAGGUAUAUAAACAAAUUACAGUAUACUCUCUCCGUGUAAAUGAAGAAGUUACGCAAAGCAUCACUAACUGCCGUAAUAACGAUUUCCGUUAAGUCAUGUCACAAACCGUAAUACAUAUAAGUACACAUGGCAUAUACCAUUCCAAGGCAUGAUUAGACCGUUAAAAUAGAAGUAAUAAGAUACUAAAUCGCAGCAUAUUCUAUCACGACUCCAAAUCCACAUCAUUGCGGUUCAAGACUACGGGUCUGCAUGGUAACCUUCCACAGCCCAAAAAUUUAUAUUCUUCUCUUCCCCAGAACAAAAAAAGAAUAGAAACCCGUUUGAUAACAACAAGUUAAUUUUUUGUUCCCGGGAACAAAAUGUUAGCCCGGGAAUGGUUUUGGAAUAGAAAUGAGAAGUAAAAAAAAAGUUGCUUCUUGUUCCCGGGAACAAGUUUAAGAAAUAAGUGAAUUUUUUUUUUCUUUUAUUCUUCUCUUGCUAACCGCCAUUGACCACCGUUGACCACCACCCGCCGUUGUUCGCCGCUGCCGGCCGACCGCCGCCCGCCGCCGGCCGACCGCCGGCCGACCGCCGACCAACCGCCGGCCGCCUCCGCCGCCGCCGCCGGUCGCCGGAGGCCGAUCGACCGUCGCCGGUCACUACUGGACGCCGCCGCCACCGCCGGCUGCUGCCGGUCGCCGGAGGCCGACCGACCGUCGCCACCGCCGGUCGCCGCCGCCACCGCCGGUCGCCGACCGACCGUCGCCGCUGGUCAACCCCGGACGCCACCGGUCGCCGACCGACCGUCGCCGCCGGCCGACCGUUGCCGCGGCCACCGCCGGUCGCCGGAGGCCGACCGACCGCCGCCGUCGGUCGACCGCGAUCGCCGCCGAACGCCGCCGCCGCCGCACGUCUCCGCCGGCCGAGCGCCGCCGGCCGACCGACGGUCGGCGGCGGCCGAUGGGCCGUGCGGUAGCGAUUGGCGGCGAGAGUCGGCCGGCGGCGCUCGGCCGGCGGCGACGUGCGGCGGCGGCAGCGUCCGGCGGUGGCCAUGGUAUACCGGAAAAAAUAAAACACAAAUAAAUAUAAAAAAUAAACUGUUUUUUACCAAACGCAUUUCUAUUCUUUUUCUAUUUCUAGAGUAAAAAUUUUGUGUAGUUAUCAAACGGGUUUUUUUACCUAGAAAUUGUUCUCCAGAAUAGAAAUAAAAAAGAACUAUUUCUGAAAAAAAAUUGUUCCCCAGCCAAGAAAUGUUCUCAUGCGCACCCAUAGACAUGUCCUUCAGAAAGAAAGGCAACGUUGGCUUGGGGAAAUCGGGGAGAUGAGGCAAUUUGGGCAAUGCUGGCAAUUCCAGCUUGGGUUUUGUUGGUAUUUCAGGCUUUGGCAGUUUUGGAAAUAGCAGUAAUUCGACUAUUGGCGGUGAUGGCAAUUUCGGUUUUGGCAGGUUUGGGAUGUCGGGAAGGUGAGGCAAUUCGGACUUCAGAAGUUCAGGUACCUUAGGCAACACUGCCUCCAAAAUUCGGCGAGCUUCAACGGAGUUCUCGCCAAUCGUCAAUGACAAAGCAAGGACAAAUAAUGCCAAAAGAUGCGAGAGCCCACAGUAGUUCGCCAUCAUAGAACCAAUAUACUAGCAAAUUGAAAAACUUGUGAAGAAGUGGUUGAUCAAGUGUAAAGGUGCAGGUGUGUUCGAGCAAUGGCUUGAUGGAGGGUUUUUAAAGAGGAGGGACGUGGGGAUUGGGGAGAUUGCAAGUAUGUUUUGGAGGGAAAAUUAUUGAAGUGUUCGUUGAACUUCCAAACCAAUCUCAAUCUCUUUUAUUCAACAACAAGAUGGAGCAGAUAAUUCCAAAAAGGAUCUUUAUAUUCUUGGCUUUUUUAAGCUUGUAAGUGCGAGUUGUUUUGGACUUCCUAGCUAGGCGGGAAAGACAAAAGAAAGGAAAUGAUUUAUGAUCUCACUCUAUGUACAAGAGGACGAAGUCCAUAGCUUUGCUCAGAGAAGUCAACAAUGUUAACAGUAAAAUCUAAGUUUUGCCAGUGAUAAUUAUACAUGAAAAAUAUUCUUGAUGCAAGGAUUGCUCGAGUGGUAGGAAUAUUACUUCUCUUUCUCUGAUAAUUUCAUAAACUUGUGUAUCUGGUAAUUUCUUGAUAUGCGUGGGACAAGGCAGCAACCACUUAACACCAUUUUGGGCCUCAAUAGAGAAGCUUAUGGUCAAGUUGAGGGUAAGGCCACCAACUUUGGAGGGAGUUGGUGGCGUACAAGCCGACUUCGGAGGAGAUGUUAAUUGCUUCUUGAGAAAGUGAGGGUUUAAGAUCCACGAAAUUGCGAAGUUAAGAAGGAGAAGACUAAGCGGUACGGGAAAUUGAAGAACUGCCAACCUCCGAUGAAACUAAAGAUUGAAUGAAACAAUUCAAUUGGGUAAUUGAAGGACUCUCAGUAGAGAGCACCAAGGACAUCAAUCAAUUGGAUGGGGGAGAAUAUCACGGACCGGAGGUUCUCAGGUGCGAUAGGCUGAGGAGGUGGCAAUGUGACCGGGCGUGCCUUAGAUUUAGAGAAGCCCCGUCAUUAAUGGAGGUAUGUGGUAAAUGAAGAGAUAUAUAAAUUUUUUGUAUAUCUCCACUUUUUUCAUCCUAGGAAGAAUAGGUAUUCAUUACUAUGGUCUUUAUGUGUAUUUAAUUCUCUCUUUUCCUCUUCCCCUCAAAAAGAGCGGUCCAAGGGUCACAAUCAAUUCGGGAGAAAUUAGUUUUUCUUUUCUUUAUUUGAUCUUGACUUGCAGUUGGAUGAAUAUUUGGUUAUUAUCCUUCUAAAUAAUAUGCUGAAUAUUACUACAUCUCAAUAAAUAUACACGCUGAUUCACAAUGAAAAAAAAAAAAGAAUUGGUGAGAAUCUAUUCCUUAUUUAUGGAUCAUCCUUCUUAUCAGUAUCUAGGAAAGCAAUUGAUUUUUUUUUUUGACAGAUACUUUUUUUAUUAAUUCAAAUUCAAAUUUGUUAAGUGACAAGUUAACUAUACUUCAAAAUUUGGCAGAAAUACAUCGAGACAAAUAAAAAAUUGGUGAGGGAUUCUUUAUUUAUAAGAAGUAGCAAAACUGAUUUAGAGCUUAUGUCCUGAAAUUAUCUUUUGUGAUCUGUCUCAUCUUAUAACAUAAUGGUCAAGCUCGCAAGGUUUUUCACCGUUGGGGUAUUUGUGUCACCGUAGGCUUAUACAAGAUUUUUUAUAAUAUUAAUCUUAUGGAAAAAUAUAUAUAUAUAUAUAUAUAUAUAUAUAUGUAUCUAUUUUUUUACAAUAAGGAAAGAAAUCGACUUUUUUGCUUGAAAUAGAAAGUGUAACAAAAUAGACUGAUGAUAUACGAAAAUGUCAAUAUUAUGAAAAACUCUAAACUGAUACAUUUGUGACAAAUUUAUUUCUAUCUAAUUAUUUGACUACAAAAAACUCCAAACCGGUACACUUGUGACAAAUUUACCUAAAAUUAUUAUUUUAUUUUUUGUAAAGGGUAAGAAACCUAAAAUUAAUUUUUUGACCAUGAAAACAUUUAAAUUGGUACACCUAAAAUAAAUUUACCAAAAACUAAUUUGUUUGACCACCAAAAACCUCAAAGUGAUAUACCCCUAACAAAUUUACCCAAACUAAUUUUUUGACCACUAAAAAACCCCAAAGUGGUAUAUUUAGACAAAUUUCUUCUAUGUUAGCUUCUGUUAAACUGGAUUAACACCAUGAAAAACCGCAAACUAAAACAAACAGGGGGUAAAAUCCCAAACUAAUAUUUCUUUUCAAAUGUCACUUAUCAUCUAACUUAGUACUUUAACAGUAAAAUUUAAAAUAAAAUAAUGGAGGGUAAAUUUGUUAUAAGUAUAUUAGUUAUGGUUUUAGUUUGGGAUAAAUUUAUUACAUGUGUACUAGUUUGGGGUUUUUGGUGAUCAAAAAUUUAAUUAAGGAUAAAUUUAUCAUAAGUGUAUCAGUUUAGUGUUUUUAAUGUACCAGUUUGGAGUUUCUAUUUUUGAGAAUAGGAAAAUAGCAACAAAAAAAAAAGAUCUAUCAAUAAAAUUGACUAUAUCAUAUACAAUAUAUUAUGUGAUAGGGAACAUGUACAUAUUAAUUAACACCUGUCAAUCUUUAAUAUAUAGCGUAUAAUUACUUUGGUUCAAUCCAAUAUGAAUUGCAGUGAAUAUUUUUUUUUUUUUACUUAAUUAAAGAAUGAUGAUUGGUUGGAAAAUGACAAAAUAGUUGUGUCAAUUUUAGGAAAUAUAUAUAUAACCCAUGAUGAAUUCAUUUUAAGUAUACAUAUAAGACAAACAAACCUCUAUUGUCAUGAAGGGUUGAUACCUUGAAAAAUCUCAAACUAGUACACAUGUGAUAAAUUUAUCUUAAACUAAUUUUUUGACCAUGAAAAACCUCAAAUUGGUACACUCGUGAUAAAUUUACCUCGACUAAUCAUAAAAAAAAAUCUCAAACUAGUACAUUUGUGACAAAUUUAUCCCAAACUAAUUUAUUUGAUCGCCAAAAAACCCAAAUCGGUACAUUUUUGACAAAUAUACCCUCCAUUAAAUUAGAUUAAUAUCACAAAAAAUCACAAAAAUUGUAUUACGGUAACAAAUGGAGAAUAAAAUAUCAAAUUGGUACAUCAGUAAAUUGCCGCAUGUCAUUCAAUUUAGUAAUUUGAUAGUAAAAUUUAACGGAAACAAAUAGACAAUAAAUUUAUUACAAAAAAUUAGUUUUGGGUAAAUUUGUCAAGAGUGUAUCAGUUUGGGAUUUUUCAGGAUAUUAACCCAAUAAUGAAUGACGCAUUUUAUUUUUCUUGAUUUUUUCUUUGAUUAUUUGAAUUUCAUAAGUAUUGUCAUUACUAGAACUCAUAUAAAUUACAUUUUCAUAUUAGUUAUAUGUGAAACAAGAUAAGGAGUUUCAGCAAACAUGAGUUUCAACAAAUUUAGAAAUAUAGAACUCAUGUGAAGCAUGCUCGAGUGCACUAGGUAUUUAAGAAAGAGUAAUUAUAGCAACUCCGUCGGAUGUAAUAGUUUAGUUACUCAAGAUAUCACAAAUUGUCCCACAAAUAAGUUUCAUAAUUGUCCCACAAAUAUGUUCCAUAAUUCAUAUAACACUAUCAUACAAAAUAUACUGUUCCGAGGCAUGCUCAGACCAUCAAAGUAGACGUAAUAAAAUAUUAAAUCACAGCAUGUUGCAUCACGACUCCAAAUUCACAUCACAACGGUUCAAGGAUUAGUAGCAGCCGCAGGCAUGUCCUUCGCAACGAAAGGCAAAGUUGGCUUAGGGAAAUCGGGGAGAUGAGGCAAUUCGGGCACUUCCGGCAAUUCCGGCUUCGGUAUUGUUGGUAAUUCAGGCUUUGGCAGUUCCGGAAGUGGCGGCAAUUCAACUUUUGGCAGUGAUGGCAAUUCUGGCUUUGGCAGGCUUGGGAUGUCGGGAAGGUGUGGCAAUCCGGGCUUCGGCAGUUCGGGCACCUCGGGCAACGUCUCCUCCAAAAUUCGGCUAGCUCCAACCGAGUUCUCGCCGGUCAUCAAGGACAAAGCAAAGACAAACAAUGCCAAAAGAUGCACAAGUCCGCGAUAGUUCGCCAUCGCAGGACCGAUCGACAAGCAAAUUUAAAAACUUCAAGUGAAGAAUCGAUGGAUCUCAAAUGAGGAGGUGCAGGUGUGCUUGAGCAAUGGCUUGAUGGAGGGUUUAUAAAGAGGAGGGACGUGGGGAUUAGGGAGAUUACAAGUAUGGUUUGGUGGGACUUUGUCGAAGUGUUAGUUCAACUUCUAGACCAAUCUCAUUUUCGUAUGUUCAACAACAACAUGGAGCAGAUAAUUCCAGAAAGGACCUUGCCAAUUAUUGGCUUUCAACGCUUGUAACCAUCAGUCGUGCUGGUAUUAUAGCUUUUGUUUUGGUUUUCCUAUAAAUCGUUAAUUGGUAACCGUACUACAAUCAUGAACUACGAUCAUUGUAAAUGAUAUCCUAAAAAUGACCAUCCCGAUACACGCACAUAUAUAUAGCUGAUUUACAUAUGAAAUUAAAAACUGAGACUAGGUAAAACUAUCUAACGUCUUGAAAUAUCUUUUCCGCAAUUCAUCUCAUGUGAUGGAAUGAUAGCCAAGCUUGCAAGGUUUUUCAAUUAUUUGAUAAAUUUAAGACUAUGUUCUUUGACUAGUAGUACACGUGAUUGAUGAACGAAUAAAAGAUCAUCAAAUAUUUGAUAACCAACGCAAUACUACCAUAGAAGUCUCAAAACAUAUCUCAAAUAUGAUGUAAUCGUAUGCUUUUAUGGAGCAGAAUAUAAAGUAUAUAUGUAUCUAUUACGGACCAGUUUGAAAUUGGUCUACUAUAUUAUAAUGACAUUCGAAAAUUAAAUGAAAAACUACUUUUCUUACCGAAAUUGAAUCUUGAGAAUUUUUCAAGGAAACUAAAAAUAUAAAGAAAAUACUCAAAAAAUUCUUAACCGGAAUACAUAUGUGAAAAGUAAGUCCAUUCAAUUUAACGAGAAAGACUCUUUUCUUUUCCAAAUAGAUUGAUAAGACUUUUUGCGGAAAAUAACAAUUUAAAGGAAAGUAUCUUAAGUCUCAAUCUAAAUAUAUUUAGGUGAUACUGUGUAGUAUUACAUAUAGAAAGAAGUCUUUUUAUUUUUUUCAAGGAAAUUUUGAGAGAGAAGAUUAUUAAAGAUUAACAUGUAUAUCAAAUAUUAUAUAAUGUAAUAAGUAUUGAAAUUAACUUCAUGGGAAUGAGAAAAUGUUUUGAUUAUUAAUUUAAGUAAAAUUGACUCUAUGAGACUCGAUAUGUGAUGUGGUAUAAAAAAGAAAAAAAAUGUAAAUAUAUCUAUAUUUGAGAGAGAGAGAGAGAGAGAGAUAAACUUUUCACUCGAAUUAGAAGUUGGAGCUAAAUAGAUUGACAUUAGGCGAAACAAUAUAUCAAGAAUAGAAAAAAAAAAUGAUCUAUAACGGCAAAGUUGUCUAUACAAUACAAUGUAUGCCAUGUUAUAGAAAACAUCGAUAAUAUUUAACAUAUAUCGAUACUAUAACAUAGAGCUUAAAAUUACUUCAAUUCAAUUCAAUACAAAAUGAAAUAAAAACAAACAUCAGAGUUGAUAUUACUUAAUUGAAGAAUGAUGAUUGCUUGAAACAUGAAAAAAUAGUUGUGUCAAAUUAAAAGGGAAAAUACUCUAUGAUAAAUUCAAGGGAAAAUUCCAAAAAGGUACCCGAAAUACCCUAUUUUUUUCAAAUAAGAGCCUAAAGUGAAUCUUAUUUCAAAUAAGGACUGAAGUGCAUUUGUUUUCUCAAAUAAGGGUUUAAAGUGGAUGUUAUUUCAAAUGAGGACCUAAAGUAAUUAUGUUUAUUUCAAAUAAGAGCAUGAAGUGGCUAUAUCCGUUUGAAAUAAGAACCCGUCUUUCUAGCGAUCAAUGGUAUUUUCGUCAUUUGUCAUUUGUCCAUUUUUUUUUUUUUUUUUUCCAUUUUUUUGACUAGCUCUUGUUCCUCUUCGCCAAUGGCCAGCCGGCCAUUGGCAAUGCCCACAAAGGGCUGAGCAAGAGAGUGAGGGUCACCACACUCAAGCAAGGCUGUCCGUCACUUGUGGGCAGGGUGGGUGGCCCUUGCUGGUGGGGGCGACCCUCGCUUAGCCCUUUGUGGGCAUCACUGGCAAAAAGGAAGAAGAAUAACCAAAAGAAAAAAAGGAAAGAAAAAAAAAGUGAAAUGCAAAAUGACAAAAAUACCCUUGGCUGGUUGGAAAAUUUAGCCACUCAGCGAUCGGCGAGAUCAGGUCUUUAUUUGAAACAACCAAAGCCACUUCAGGCCCUUAUUUGAAACAACUAAGGCUACUUUAGGUUCUUAUUUGAAACAAAAUCCAUUCCGGGCCCUCAUUUGAGAAAACAAUAACACUUCGGGUCUUUUUUUGAAAUUUUCCCUAAAUUCAAUUGAAGUAAAUAAGAUGUUCAAUAAGUGGAUUUAUAAUUUAUAUGUAAGAUAAAUGAACCUAUAUCACUCGAUCCUAUAACAAACAUGUAAUUUUGCUUAUUUUUCCUUCAAAUAUUUAAAUUCUAUGAUAAGUUAAAUGUGUAUAAAGUAGAUAAUGAGUUUUAAUAAAUAUAAAUUUGAUAUAUUUUGAAAUAUAAAACACAUGAAGCAUCAGAAAGUGUACUAGUUGUUUAAGAAAGAGUAACUAUAGCAUACUCCGUCGGUGUAAAAGAAGAGUUACACAAGAUAUCAUAAACUAUCAUACGAAUAAGUUCCAUAAUUCAUAUCACAAACUGUCAUACAAACGACUAUAUAUGGCAUAUAACAUUCUGAGGUGAACACUGACCAUUACAAUAGAAGUAAUAGAAUACUAAUUCAUAUCAUAUCGAAUCCCGACUACAAGUUCACAUCACAACGGUUCAAGGACUAGUAGCAGCGAUAGACGUGUCCUUCGAAACGGCAGGCAAUGUUGGCUUAGGGAAAUCGGGAAGGUGAGGCAAUUCAGGCACUUCUGGCUUUGGUAAAGUUGGAAAUUCAAGCUUUGGAAGUUUGGGCACUUCCGGCAAUUCUGGCUUCGGUAUUGUUGGAAAUUCAGGCUUUGGCAGCUCGGGAAGUGGCGGCAAUUCGACUUUUGGCAGAGAUGGCAGUUCUGGUUUUGGCAGGCUUGGGAUAUCGGGAAGCUGAGGCAAUUCUGGCUUCGGCAGUUCAGGCACUUCAGGCAACGUCGCGUCCAAAAGUUGGCGAGCUCCAACGCGGUUCUGGCCGAUUGUCAAAGACAGAGCAAGGACAAACAAUGACAAAAGAUUAGUGAGUCUGCAAUAGUUCGCCAUCGUGGAAUUGAGCGACUAGCAAACCGAAAAACUUUGAGUGAAGAAGCGGUGUGUUUGAGCAAUGGCUUGAUGGAGGGUUUUUAAAGAGGAGGGACGUGGGGAUUGGGGAGAUUACAAGUAUGUUUUGGUGGGAAAAAUAAUCUAAGUGUUGGUUCAACUUCUAAACCAAUCUCAUUUUCUUUUGUUCAACAACAAGAUGGAGAAGACUCCAAAAAGUUAUCUUGCCACUUCUGGGCUUUCUAAGUCUGUAACUAUCAGCUGUGCUAGAUUUCUCAGCUACGCGGGAAAAAGAAACGAAAGGAGAUGGUUCAUGAUUUCACUCUAUGUACAAUAGUAGGACGAAGUCCGGAGUUUUGGUUGAAGAAGUCAAUAAUUUAAGGAUAAAAAUCUAAGUUUUGUUAGCGAUCAUUGUACAUGAAAUGCAUACUCAUCUAAAACUUGUCUAAAUUUAUUAAGUGCAUUUAAUAAAUUCAUUAACCUUCUCUUAAGUUUUCCGUUCCCUUUCUCUAUUAUAUCCAUUCACGUGCACUCAAUACUUUUCAAUUUCAAUUUUUAUGUAUCCAUUUGCAUGCUAGAGUUAAGGACGAUGGUCACUUACAUUCAAUUUGUUUGUUUUUUUUUUUUUUUGGGGGUAUGCCUGGCCUUUUUUUCACCUAUAAGAGGGUAGAAUAUUUGUUAUUCUGGUCUUUAUGUGCAUUUCAUCUCCUUUUUUUCUCCUCAGAAAUGGGUCUUAGUUGCAAAAUUAAUUCAUCAGAAAUCGAUUUUUCUUUUUCCAAUUUGAUCUUGACUUGCUAUUGAAUGGAUAAUCGGUUAUCAUCACUCCCAAUUAGAUUAGAAAUAUGACUACAUCUCAAUAUAUCAAUUUACAUCCGAACUGUAAAAAAUGAGACUCGGCAAUAAUCUAUUUCUUAUGUAUGGAUCAUCUUUCUUACCGGUAUCUCGAAAAGCAAAUGAUUUUUUUUUUUGGCAUAAACAUUUUUGUUGAGUGUCUUAAAAAAUUAACUACAUUUAAAAAUGCAAAAAUACAAAGAGAUAAGAGGAAUGGUGAGGGAUUUUGAUUUCACAUGAAUUAGCAAAAACGAUUGAGAAUUUAUGAGCUGAAACUUAUUGAGAACUUAUGGGCUAAAACUUUCUUCUAUGCAAUCCAUCUUAAAUGACAAUAUAAUAGCCAACCUGGCAAGGCUUUUUUUUCUUUUUUAAACUAUUUAUGAAUUUUAUAUUAUGCUUUCCAGAUAGUAGUGUACGUAAUUGAUGAACAAACAAAAGAUCAAAAAAAUAUUUAAUAACCGACUUAAUACUACCAUAGAAGUUUCAACACAUAUCACAAAUAUGAUAUAACCAUAUUCUUGCAUGUGGUAGCUUAUUAACUAUAAAUGUAUCUAUAACACACGGGUUUGAAAACUAGUCUAAUAUAUAAUAGGGGCUUCUGAACAUUAAAUGCAUUCAAUUUAAUGAGAAACAUUCUUUUCUUAUCCAAAAUGAAGUUUUAGAUUUUUUUUUUCCCUUGACAUAGAAUUAGUCGCAGAAAAGAGUGGGAAUAUGCGAAACAAGAUCCAAGAAUAGAAAAAAAAAUGAUUUAAUAACAGUAAAGUUGACUAUGAUCUGCAUAAUAUAUUAUUUGAUAGAAAAAGUACAUAAUGACUAACAUGCAUCAACACCAUAACAUAUAGCGAAAUAUUACUUUGGUUUAAUCAGAUACAAAAUUUAGUAAAGUACAAAUAUUAGAGUUGAUUUUGCUUGACCAAAGAAUGACGAUUGCUUAAAAAUGACAAUAUUUGUGCCAAAUUAAAAGGAAAAAUAAUCUACGGUAGUUCAAUUUUAAUAAAGUAUGAUAUAUAAGAUGUUUGAUGACUUAAAGUGUAUUUAUAAUUUGUAUGUAAGACAAGUGUACCUAUCUCAAUCCAUCAUACAAUAAAAGACGCAUUUUUCUGAUUUUUUCUUCAAUUGUUUAGAUUAUGUCACCGUUAUCACUCUAAAAUUUUAAAUUCCCAUAUUAGUUAGAAGUGAAAAAAGUGGACAAGGAAGUAACAUAGAUUUCUUCUAUUUUGAAAUAUUAAACUCGUACAGAACAUAAGGGAGUGCACUAGCUAUAUUAAAAAGAGUAAUAAUAGUAUACACUAUCGAUGUAAAAAGAUAGUUACACAAAACAUCACAAACUGUGAAGGAGUUCCAUAAUUCAUAUCACUAAAACAAGUAUUGUAUAGUGUUCUGAGGUAUGCUCAGACCAUUAAAAUAGAAGUAAUAAAAAACUGAAUCGCAUCAUGUUGUAUAACGACUCCAAAUUCACAUUAAUGGCUCAAGGGCUAGUAGCAGCGACGGCUGUGUCCUUGGGAAUCGUGGGAACGAAAGGCAAUGUUGGCUUGGGAAAAUCAGGAAGAUGAGUCACUUCGGGCACUACCGGCAAUUCCGGCUUUGGUAUUGUUGGAAAUUCGGGCUUUGGUAGCUCAGGAAGCGGCGGCAAUUCGACUUUCGGCAGUGACGGGAAUUCUGUCUUUGGCAAGCUAGGGAUGUCAGGAAGUUGAGGUAAUUCGGGCUUCGGCAAUUCCGGCACUUCUAAGGACUCCGGCUUCGGUGUUGCUGGAAAUUCAGGCUUUGGUAGUUCAGGAAGCGGUGGCAAUUCGACUUUCGGCAAUGAUGGGAAUUCUGGCUUUGGCAAGCUAGGGAUGUCAGGAAGGUGAGGCAAUUCAGGCUUCGGUAGUUCGGGCACUUCGGGCAAGGUCGCCUCCAAAAGUCGGCGGGCUCCAACUGGCUUCUCACCAAUCAUCAAAGACAGAGCGAGGACAAACAAUGCCAAAAGGUGCGCGAGUCCAUGAUGGUUCGUCAUUGGAGAAUCAAUCGACUAGCAAAUUCAAAAGCUUUGAGUGAAGAAGCGGCGAAUCUCGAGUGAGAGAAGGUGCAGGUGUGCUUGAGCAAUGGCUUGAUGGAGGGCUUAUAAGGAGGAGGGACGUGGAGGAUUGGGGAGAAUGCAAGUAUGGUUUGGUGGGAAUAUUAUCAAAGGGUUAGGUCAACUUCUAAACCAAUCUCAUUUUUGUACGUUCAACAGCAAGAUAGAGCAUAUUAUUCCAAAAGGAGCUUGCCAAUUCUUGGCUUUUCAGGCUUCUGACUACCUGUUGAGGUGAGAAAGAGGGAGAGAAAAGAAAAGAAAAGAAAUGGUUUAUGAUCUCACUAUGUACAACAGGACUGGAGUCUUGGAGUCUUAAAAUAUUGGAGAAGCCAAUAAUGUAAGAGCAAAAUAAUAAAUAUUGUCAGUGAUCAUUAUUCAUGGAAUCUUUACUUGAUGCAAGGAUUACUCAAGUUUUAAGCAUGUAUGUUUUCUUUUGAGGCCUUGGUUCAAAUCCCUACAAUUGUGCAUUAUUUUCGAUGAUCUUUGAGAACAUAGGCAUGUAUGAAUCCGAUUAUCUCUCUAAUUGUGUGGGAUAAAACUACUCUUGCUGGAAAAAACAAAACUUUAGGUGACAACUUUUUGGGGACAGACAUAAAAGGAGAUCCUUAAAUAGAGUUUCUAGUUAGGGGUGAGUAGUUCUAAGGAUGGUUUAGGUUUCAACUUUCUUGGAACUUGAAAUUUACCUUAUUAAGACCGGUUUCCCAGUUUUUGAAACUUAAAACCUAUCAUGUAUAUCUUAAAAUUUGUGACCUGCUCUAUCAAUCGAAUCCAAAGUCUAUUAAGGAACCGGCUGAUUUCUCUUUUCUUUUCUUUUUCUUUUUUUUUUCUUGUUUCAUUUUAGUCAGCAAUAGAGAGAACAUAACAACAAAAAUCAUCAUUUGUCAAUAACAAUGAUCUAUAAAAUAUUAGCACCUAAAAUAAAAUAAACAAUAAAAAGUUGAAAACGCAUAAUGUAGAAUCCAAAUUUCAUGCUCUCAAAGGAGUCAAGAACCAUGAUAAAAACCAAGGAUUCGAAUGAAGGAACCUUUUUUUUCAUUUGAGCCUCGUGUAAUACCGUUCAUGUCAUGCUCUAUUUUAGGAUUACCUUGGUUCUUGUUCUAGUUCUUUGAUUUUCAGUCUGAUUCGUCGAUUCUUAGUUCAAUUCUAUUCAAUUCUUAAGAAUCGCAUAGAACAAGUUCCAAAAAAUGUGAAACCGAAAUUUGGAGCAUGCCCUUUAGAACCUAGAGACAGGUCGAUUCCCAUGACCUGUUUGGUCUUUCUUGAUUAUACUUGGGAAAUUUGCUCACCCCCAACUUCUUGUUCCGUCCCUACGGAAAUAUUGAAUGAGCCGUCGUUAAUGGUAAUAGUGUAAAUGAUUUAGUUUGGUUCGGUUUUUUGGGAAAACGGAACCAAACCGAACCGAUAAAGAAAUUUAUUGAAUCAAACUGAAAUUCCAUCCAAAUCGAAACCGAAUCGUCAAUGACAAAGCAAGGACAAAUAAUGCCAAAAGAUGCGAGAGCCCGCAGUAGUUCGCCAUCGUAGAACCAAUAUACUAGCAAAUUGAAAAACUUCGAGUGAAGAAGUGGAGGAUGUCAAGUGUAAAGGUGCAGGUGUGUUCGAGCAAUGGCUUGAUGGAGGGUUUUUAAAGAGGGACAUGGGGAUUGGGGAGAUUGCAAGUAUGUUUUGGAGGGAAAAUUAUCGAAGUGUUCGUUGAACUUCCAAACCAAUCUCAAUCUCUUUUGUUCAACAACAAGAUGGAGCCGAUAAUUCCAAAAAGGAUCUUUAUAUUCUUGGCAUUUUUAAGCUUGUAACUGCGAGUUGUGUUGGACUUCCUAGCUAGGAGGGAAAGACAAAAGAAAGGAAAUGAUUUAUGAUCUCACUCUAUGUACAAGAGGACGAAGUCCAUAGCUUUGGUCAGAGAAGUCAACAAUGUUGAGAGUAAAAUCUAAGUUUUGCCAAUGAUAAUUAUACACGAAAAGUAUUCUUGAUGUAAGGAUUGCUUAAGUGGUAGGCAUAUUCCUUCUCUUUCUCUGAUAAUUUCAUAAACCUAUGUAUCUGGUAAUUUCUUGAUAUGCGUGGGACAAGGCGGCAGCCACUGUUAAGGCUACCAUUUUGGGCCUCAAUAGAGAAGCUUAUGGUCAAGUUGAGGGUAAGGCCACCACCUUCGGAGGGAGUUGGUGGCGUACAAGCCGACUUCGGAGGAGAUGCUAAUUGCUUCCUGAAAAAGUGAGGGUUUAAGAUCCAUGAAAUUGCGAAGUUAAGAAGGAGAAGACUAAGUGGUAAAGAGAUUGAAGAACUGCCACCCUCGGAUGAAACUAAUGAUCGAAUGAAACAAUUCAAUUGGGUAAGCGUAGGACUCUGAGUCGAGAGCACCAAAGACAUCAAUCAAUUGGAUGGGGGAGAAUAUCAUGGACCGGAGGUUCUCAAGGUGCAAUAGGCUGAGGCGGUGGCCAUGUGACCGGGGGUGCCUUAGAUUUAGAGAAGCCUUGUCAUUAAUGGAGGUAUGUGGUAAAUGAAGAGAUAUAUAACUUUUUGUAUAUCUCCACUUUUUUCAUCCUAGGAAAAAUAGGUAUUCAUUACUCUGGUCUUUAUGUGUAUUUAAUUCUCUCUUUUCCUCUUCCCCUCAAAAAGGGCGGUCCUAGGGGCGCAAUCAAUUCGGGAGAAAUUAGUUUUUCUUUUCUUUAUUUGAUCUUGACCUGCAGUUGGAUGAAUAUUUGGUUAUUAUCCUUCUAAAUAAUAUGCUGAAUAUUACUAUAUCUCAAUAAAUAUAAACGCUGAUUCACAAUGAAAAAAAAUAAGAAUUGGUGAUCAUCUAUUCCUUAUGUAUGGAUCAUCCUUCUUAUCAGUAUCUAGGAAAGCAAUUGUUUUUUUUUUCUGGCAGAUAAUUUUUUUAUUAAUUCAAAUUCAUAUAUAUAUAUAUAUAUAUAUAUAUAUAUAUAUAUAUAUAUUUUGAGCAAGUCAAAUUCAUAUCUGUUAAGUGACAGCAAAAGUUAACUAUACUUCAAACAGAAAUACAUCGAGCCAAACGAAAAAUUGGUGAGGGAUUCUUUAUUUAUAAGAAGUAGCAAAACUGAUUUAGAUCUUAUGUCCUGAAAUUAUCUUUUGUGAUCCGUCUCAUCUUAUAACAUAAUGUUCAAGCUCGCAAGGUUUUUCACAGUUCGGGUAUUGGUGUCCCCGUAGGCUUAUACAAGGUUUUUUUUUGUAAUAGUAAGCUUAUGGAAAUAUAUAUAUAUAUAUAUAUAUAUAUAUAUAUAUGUAACUAUAUUUGUACAAUAAGGAGAGAAAUUGACUUUUUCGCUUGAAAUAGAAAGUGUAACAGAAUAGACUAACAAUAUGCGAACUGGUCAAUAUCAUGAAAAACUAUAAACUGAUACAUUUGUGAUAAGUUUACUUCUAUCUAAUUAUUUGGCCACAAAAAACUCCAACCAAUACACUUAUGACAAAUUUACCUAAAAUUAAUAUUUUGACCAUGAAAACAUUUAAAUUGGUACACCUAAAAUAAAUUUACCAAAAACUAAUUUUUUGACCACUAAAAAUCUCAAAUUGAUAUACACCUAACAAAUUUACCCAAACUAGUUUUUUGACCACUAAAAAACCCCAAAGUGGUAUAUAUAAGGCAAAUUUCUUCUAUAUUAGCUUUUCUUAAACUGGAUUAACACCAUGACAAACCACAAACUAAAACAGACCGGGGGGGGGGGGUAAUAUCCCAAACUAAUAUUUUUUUCAACCAUCACGUAUCAUCUAACUUAGUAAUUUAAUAGUGAAAUUUAAAAUAAAAUAAUGGAUGGUAAAUUUGUUAUAAGUAUAUUAGUUAUGGUUUUAGUUUGGGAUAAAUUUAUCACAUGUGUACUAGUUUGGGGUUUUUAGUGAUAAAAAAAUUAGUUAAGGAUAAAUUUAUCAAAAGUGUAUCAGUUUAGUGUUUUUAAUGUACCCGUUUGGAGUUUCUAUUCUUGAGAAUAGGAAAAUAGAAAAAAAAAGAAAGAUCUAUCAAUAAAAUUGACUAUACCAUAUACAAUAUAUUAUGUGAUAGGGAACACGUAUAUAUUAAUUAACACUCGUCAAUACUUUAAUAUAUAGCGUAUAAUUACUUUGGUUCAAUCCAAUAUGAAUUGCAGUGAAUAAUUUUUUUUAUUUAUUACCUAAUUAAAGAAUGAUGAUUGGUUGGAAAACGACAACAUAGUCAUGUCAAUUUUAGAAAUAUAUAUAACUCAUGAUGAAUUCAUUUUAAGUAUACAUAUAAGACAAACGAACCUCCAUUGUUACGAACGGUUGAUAUAUUGAAAAAUCUCAAACUAGUACACAUGUGAUAAAUUUAUCUUAAACUAAUUUUUUGACCAUGAAAAACCCCAAAUUGGUACACCCGUGAUAAAUUUACCCCGACUGAUCAUAAAAAAAAAAAAAAUCUCAAAUUAGUACAUUUGUAAUAGAUUUAUCCCAAACUAAUUUAUUCGAUCGCCAAAAAACCCAAAUCGGUACAUUUGUGACAAAUAUACCCUCUAUUAAGUUAGAUUAAUAUCAUAAAAAAAUCACAAAAAUUGUAUGAUGGUAACAAAUGGAGAAUAAAAUCUCAAAUUGGUAUACCAGUAAAUUGCCGCAUGUCAUUCAAUUUAGUAAUUUGAUAGUAAAAUUUAACGGAAACAAAUAGAGAGUAAAUUUAUCACAAAUAUACUAGAUUUGGGUAUAUUUGUUAAAGGUAUACCGGUUUAGGAUUUUUGCUAAAAAAAUUAGUUUGUGGUAAAUUUGUUACGACUGUACCAGUUUGGGGUUUUUCAAGAUAUUAACCCAAUAAUGAAUGACGCAUUUUAUUUUUCUUGAUUUUUUCUUUGAUUAUUUGAAUUUCAUAAGUAUUGUCAUUACUAGAACUCAUAUAAAUUAAAUUUUCAUAUUAGUUAUAUGUGAAACAAGAUAAGGAGUUUCAGCAAACAUGAGUUUCAACAAAUUUGGAAAUAUAGAACUCAUGUGAAGCAUGCUCGAGUGCACUAGGUAUUUAAGAAAGAGUAAUUAUAGCAACUCCGUCGGAUGUAAUAGUUAAGUUACUCAAGAUAUCACAAAUUGUCCCACAAAUAAGUUUCAUAAUUGUCCCACAAAUAUGUUCCAUAAUUCAUAUAACACUAUCAUACAAAAUAUACUGUUCCGAGGCAUGCUCAGACCAUCAAAGUAGACGUAAUAAAAUAUUAAAUAACAGCAUGUUGCAUCACGACUCCAAAUUCACAUCACAACGGUUCAAGGAUUAGUAGCAGCCGCAGGCAUGUCCUUCGCAACGAAAGGCAAAGUUGGCUUAGGGAAAUCGGGGAGAUGAGGCAAUUCGGGCACUUCCGGCAAUUCCGGCUUCGGUAUUGUUGGUAAUUCAGGCUUUGGCAGUUCCGGAAGUGGCGGCAAUUCAACUUUUGGCAGUGAUGGCAAUUCUGGCUUUGGCAGGCUUGGGAUGUCGGGAAGGUGUGGCAAUCCGGGCUUCGGCAGUUCGGGCACCUCGGGCAACGUCUCCUCCAAAAUUCGGCUAGCUCCAACCGAGUUCUCGCCGGUCAUCAAGGACAAAGCAAAGACAAACAAUGCCAAAAGAUGCACAAGUCCGCGAUAGUUCGCCAUCGCAGGACCGAUCGACAAGCAAAUUUAAAAACUUCAAGUGAAGAAGCGAUGGAUCUCAAAUGAGGAGGUGCAGGUGUGCUUGAGCAAUGGCUUGAUGGAGGGUUUAUAAAGAGGAGGGACGUGGGGAUUAGGGAGAUUACAAGUAUGGUUUGGUGGGAUUUUGUCGAAGUGUUAGUUCAACUUCUAGACCAAUCUCAUUUUCGUAUGUUCAACAACAACAUGGAGCAGAUAAUUCCAGAAAGGACCUUGCCAAUUAUUGGCUUUCAACGCUUGUAACCAUCAGUCGUGCUGGUAUUAUAUAGCUUUUUGUUUUGGUUUUCCUAUAAAUCGUUAAUUGGUAACCGUACUACAAUCAUGAACUACGAUCAUUGUAAAUGAUAUCCUAAAAAUGACCAUCCCGAUACAUGCACAUAUAUAUAGCUGAUUUACAUAUGAAAUUAAAAACUGAGACUAGGUAAAACUAUCUAACGUCUUGAAAUAUCUUUUCCGCAAUCCAUCUCAUGUGAUGGAAUGAUAGCCAAGCUUGCAAGGUUUUUCAAUUAUUUGAUAAAUUUUAGACUAUGUUCUUUGACUAGUAGUACACGUGAUUGAUGAACGAAUUAAAGAUCAACAAAUAUUUGAUAACCAACGCAAUACUACCAUAGAAGUCUCAAAACAUAUCUCAAAUAUGAUGUAAUCGUGUGCUUUUAUGGAGCAGAAUACAAAGUACAUAUGUAUCUAUUACGGACCGGUUUGAAAUUGGUCUACUAUAUUAUAAUGACAUUCGAAAAUUAAAUGAAAAACUUCUUUUCUUACCAAAAUUGAAUCUUGAGAAUUUUUCAAGGAAAGUAAAAAUAUCAAGAAAGAACUCAAAAAAUUCGUAACCGGAAUACAUUUUGCGAAAAAUAAGUCCAUUCAAUUUAACGAGAAAUACUCUUUUUUUCCAAAUAGAUUGAUAAAAAUUUUCUCGGAAAGUAACAAUUUAAAGGAAAGUAUCUUAAGUCUCAAUCUAAAUAUAUUUAGGUGAUUUUGUGUAGCAUUAUGUUUAGACAGAAGUCUUUUUAUUUUUUUCAAGGAAAUUUUGAGAGAGAAGAGUAUUAAAGAUUAACAUGUAUAUCAAAUACUAUUUAAUGUAAUUAUGAAUGAGAAAAAUGUUUAUGAUUAUUAAUUUAAGUAAAAUUGACUAUAUGAGCAUGAUAUAUGAUGUGAUAUAAAAAAAAAGUGUAAAUAUAUCUAUAUUUGAGAGAGAGAGAGAGAGAGAGAGAGAGAGAGAGAGAGAGAGAGAGAGAGAGAGAGAAGUUGCAGCUAAAUAGAUUGACAUUAUGCGAUAUCAAGAAUAGAAAAAAUUGAUCUAUAACGGUUAAGUUGUCUAUACAAUACAAUGUAUGCCAUGUUAUAGAAAACAUCAAUAAUAUUUAACAUAUAUCGAUACUAUAACAUAGAGCUUAAAAUUACUUCAAUUCAAUUCAAUACAAAAUGAAAUAAAAACAAACAUCAGAGUUAAUAUUACUUAAUUGAAGAAUGAUGAUUGCUUGAAACAUGAAAAAAUAGUUGUGUCAAAUUAAAAGGGAAGAUACUCUAUGAUAAAUUCAAUUUUAGUAAAUAAGAUGUUCAAUAAGUGGAUUUAUAACUUAUAUGUAAGAUAAAUGAACCUAUAUCACUUGAUCAUAUAACAAACAUGUAAUUUUGCUGAUUUUUUCUUCGAAUAUUUAAAUUCUAUGAUAAGUUAAAUGUGUAUAAAGUAGAUACUGAGUUUUAGUAAACAUAAAUUUGAUAUAUUUUGAAAUAUAAAACACAUGAAGCAUAAGAAAGUCUACUAGUUGUUUAAGAAAGAGUAACUAUAGCAUACUCUAUCGGCAUAAAAGAAGAGUUACACAAGAUAUCAUAAACUAUCAUACCAAUAAGUUCCAUAAUUCAUAUCACAAACUAUCACAUAAACAACUAUAAAUGGCAUAUAACAUUCUGAGGUGAAUAUUGACCAUUACAAUAGAAGUAAUAGAAUACAAAUUCAUAUCAUAUCGAAUCCCGACUACAAGUUCACAUCACAACGGUUCAAGGACUAGUAGCAGCAACAGACAUGUCCUUCGGAAUGGAAGGCAAUGUUGGCUUAGGGAAAUCAGGAAGGUGAGGCAAUUCGGGCACUUCCUGCAAUUCUGGCUUUGGUAAAGUUGGAAAUUCAAGCUUUGAAAGUUCGGGUACUUCCGACAAUUCUGGCUUCGGUAUUGUUGGAAAUUCAGGCUUUGGCAGUUUGGGAAGUGGUGGCAAUUCGACUUUUGGCAGCGAUGGCAGUUCUGGUUUUGGCAAGCUUGGGAUGUCGGGAAGCUGAGGCAAUUCUGGCUUCAACAGUUCAGGCACUUCAGGCAACGUCGUGUCCAAAAGUUGGUGAGCUUCAACGUGGUUCUGGCCGAUUGUCAAAGACAGAGCAAGGACAAACAAUGCCAAAAGAUUAGUGAGUCUGCAAUAGUUCACCAUCGGGGAAUCAAGCGACUAGCAAACCGAUAAACUUUGAGUGAAGAAUCGGUGUGUUUGAGCAAUGGCUUGAUGGAGGGUUUUUAAAGAGGAGGGACCUAAGUAGCACCGACAUGGGACACGAUAUGACACAACACGUCGACAUGUCAUUUCUAAAAAAUAGAGAAAUUUGAUACGUUGCAAUACGUUAUAUAUUAAACGAAUAUUUUUAUUUUUAAUUAAUUUAAUUCAAAUUCAUAAAUAAAUAAAUAAAGAACCUAUAAUGAAUUUACACUAAUAAUAUUAAUAAAUCAAUUCAUUAGAAAUUCGAAAGCUAUAUUCAUAGUUAAUGCGAAAUAUGUUUUUAACUUUAACAAAAGUUAUUGAUGAAAUUAAUGACUAAUAAGAAAUUAGAAUCAAUUUAUUUAAAUAAAUCCAUGAUUUUCUACAAUGACCAAAAUUUAUCAUUAUUCAAAAUUCAAUACUUUUAUUUUUUGAAAUUAUUUUUUUAAUCUCAUUUAUUUAAUUUUCCGAUUAAAAAUAAAAAUCCCCAAAGGUCCACCCCUUCUUUCCCUCGUCCGUUUCCCUCCACCCCAAAUUUAUUUUACUUCGCCCCCCACCCCCCACACCACCUGACAAACAGUAACUUCCCCUCCCCCAAACUCAAAAAUCACGUCAUCAGUCUCCCUUUUUUUUUUAUUACUUUUUAGUUCCCUUAUCAAAACCCUAGCCACCCUCCUUUUCCUCCUCCUUCUCGCCGUUGGCCGCACGACCCCCUCCCCUUCCUCUCCUCUUCCUCUCCUCUUCCUCUCGAUCCUUCUCCUUCUCCUCCUCACCACACGACCACCUGCCUCUCCGCAUGACCCCCUUCCUCUCCUCCUCCUCCUCCUUGUUGCCAAUCCAUCGCAACAAUGGCGGCCCUCGCUUCAGUUUCUGCUCUCUUUGGUUGUCUCUCACCAUUGCAGUAGUUCGUUGCAUGGCUUCAUCUUGCUAGCGGGAGUUUGCUUUCUCUGUCUUCUUUCCCUCCAUCUGUUGGAGAAAUCUUCUUGAAGUGUUUUGAAGUUGACAAAACGUUUCUAUCAGUCUAGUCUGAAGGCUUGCAGACUCUGCUAUUUAAAGUCUGAAGACCUCCGGACAGCCAGACUCAAGACUCAAAGUCUAUCCUCAUUGAUAGUCUCUAAUCCGUUGAAGAAAGGUUAUCCAGAACUGGAUGUUUCGUUAAGGAUUUAACCUUAUCAACUGGAGAAGAUCUCGUGGCUGGAGAAGACAUAACAGAGUCCUUUGAUUGAUUUAAGAUUGACUCGAUAAUUGAAGAUCCGGUGAUUGCCUAAAUAUUAUUGGAAGGUUCUGCUUAUGGAAACCGAGAUCCUGAUUGUAUGGGCGAACAUGAUUGAUGGGCUAUCAACACGUUCCUUUAAUAGCUUGAACAAUUUUUCUAAUUGAUUCCGUCCAACGGGUAGAUUGGAGGAAUUCCUUUGGUAAGUGCCAACGGGUAUGAUGGCAUAAAGGAGUAUAUAAGGAAGACUGUCUUAGUUGUUCAAGGUGUGCGCAAUAGAAGAAUUCCAAAGUCUGAAGCUCCUUUUUUGUUUAGACAAAUCCUUUGAGCGAAUACUUGUAUACGAAAGAGAGAGUCUAUAUUUGUGAGAAAUCUUGAGAAGGUGUGGUAGAACAUCUACACUGUGGAAUCAAGGCAAAUCUGUGCUGUAACUUCUCUUUUGUUCAUAGUGGAAUCCAGCCAAUAGGCUGUCAGUGAAGAAGAGUGGACGUAGGCUUGAUAUAAGCCGAACCACUAUAAAUCACGUGUUCAAUUUUCUCUUCUCUCAGUCUUACUUUGAUUAUCGUUUCCAUCAACUGUCUAGUAUUGUGCAAUUGUUGAAGAAAAAUCCUCUAUAUACCUAUUCACCCCCCUCUAGGUACUCAUACUAGCAAUAUCAAUUGGUAUCAAAGCCUGUGUACUUACUUUAUUUGAAGUGUUUUACUUCGUAGUAAAAGAUCCAUGGCUAGUAUGCUAGCACCAUGGCUGAUGGAAGGGCAAAGCAAUACCAGACCACCCUACUUUGAUGGAAAGGAUUACAACAUCUGGAAGAACAAGAUGAAAGCUUUCCUACGAUCAAAGGAUCCUCUGGAAUGGGACGUUGUAGAAAAAGGAAUUACUCCUACCACUGCAUUAGUCUCUGAAAGAGGAAAAGAAACUGAUGAAACUAGCGGAAUGUCUCAGGAAGAAAUAAUCAAGAGACAAGCACUCGAUACAAAAGCAAUUUACUCCUUAUAUUGUGCUUUAUCACCAACUGAAUAUAAUAGAAUAUCUUCUUGUGGUACAGCAAAAGAAGUUUGGGACAGAUUGCAUAUCACCUAUGAAGGAACAGAUUGAGUGAAGGAAACAAGAAUCAACAUUUUUCUCGGUCAAUACGAAGCCUUCAGAAUGAAACCAGGAGAAUCUAUAUCUGACAUGUUUAGUCGUUUUACAGAUAUUGUGAAUGGUCUUGAAAAUCAAGGUCAACCAACUUUUGAUCCCAUGAAGGUAAACAAGCUACUGCGUGGACUCUCCAGGAUUGGAAUCACAUAAAGACUUCGAUAAGUAAUUUUAAAAUUCCUGUCAAAGUUUCUAAAUACAUUGAUGAACUAUGUUUUAGUCUUAAGACUUCUCUCAAAAGAAUUUCCGAACUAAAAAAGGAAAACUCAGCUCUAAAACAAAAGGAAAAUGUUUUAGUAGAAAGAGUUAAAAGUCUAGACUUGACUGUUUCUAAUCUUAAAGAAAAUGAAGAUAAUCUUUUAAAAGAAAAUGCUUUUUUAAAAACAGACUUAUCAAAUACAUCAAAGAAAUUUUCAAUAGGGUCUGAAAAACUUGAGAAAAUUCUUUCAGCACAAAGACCUUACUUCAAUAAGUCCGGUCUAGGUAUGUUAGAAGAAACAAUUCCCUUGAUUGAUUUUCCUAAAGUAAAAGAAAGAAUUAAGAAAAGACUCUCGAGAGAGGUUUACAAAAAUCACUUCAAGAAAGUUUUUGUAAAAUCUAUAGGUAGAAAUGCUCUAAGAUGUUCAAAAUGCAACAGUCCGGAUCACUUUGAAAAAGAGUGUCCUAUGGUUUGGAAACCUGUUAAGAAAAUAUGGGCUAAUACUGCUUAUGUUACUAACACCAAAGGACCCAAGAAAGUUUUGGUACCAAAGAAAGCUUGAGACUCUUUUUUAAAUGCAGGUCACCGUCGAGAAAAAUGUGAAGUGGUAUCUUAACAGUGGAUGCUCAAGACACAUGACAGGAGACUCAAAUUGUUUUAUAAAGCUUGCUCAAGUAAAUGGUGGAAAAGUUUCAUUUGGAGGAAACAACAAAGGGAGUAUUGUGGGAUUUGGAACUGUGAAAAUUGGAAAUCUCACAAUAAGUAAUGUUUCCUUAGUGGAAGGACUCAAUUACAAUCUUCUCAGCAUUAGUCAAUUGUGUGAUACUGGUUUCAAGAUCUUCUUUCAAGAAGGAAUAUGUUCUGGAAUCAGUAAAGACUCUACUCAGUCUUUCAUGGGUCGUAGACAUGGAAACAUCUAUCUUCUGGAUGUGAAACCAAAUGAAUCGCAAUGUUUUAUCUCAAUUCAAGACGAAGCAAGCUUAUGGCACAGAAAGCUUGGUCAUGUAUGAAGCAAUUAGCCAAAAUCUCAUCAAAGCAGCUUGUUCGAGGACUACCCAAAUUACCUUAUCAAAAGACUGAUCCAUGCACUCCAUGUAUUCUGGGAAAGCAGGUAAGAAAUUCAUUUAAGCCAAUAAAUCAUGUCUCUACUAAUCAUGUACUACAGUUGCUGCAUAUGGAUCUCUUCGGACCAACCAGAACACAGAGUAUUGGAGGUAAGAAAUAUUGCCUAGUAAUUGUGGACGAUUACUCCCGUUUUACUUGGAUAUAUUUCCUUGCAAGUAAGUCUGAAACCUUCUCGUAUUUUGAAAAGUUUGCUAAAAAGGUUCAAAAUGAAAAAGGAUGUAUUAUCUCAAGUAUACAGAUCAUGGAGGUGAAUUUGAAAAUGAAGAUUUUACUAAAUUUUGUGAUGAAUCUGGCUUUAAUCAUGUGUUCUCCUCUCCAUAUACUCCUCAGCAAAAUGGACUUGUGGAAAGAAAGAACAGAUCUCUUCAAGAAAUGGCUAGAACUCUUUUAAUUGAAAGCAAGAUUUCUUCACGAUUUUAGGCUGAAGCUAUUUCAACAGCUUGUUAUAUCAUCAAUAGAGUCUUCUUAAGACCUAUUCUAGAGAAAACCCCUUAUGAGUUGUUCAAAGAUAAGAAGCCUAUUGUUUCAUACUUUCAUGUAUUCGGUUGCAAAUGUUUUAUAUUGAAAAAUGCAAAAGAUCGAGUUGGUAAGUUUGAAGAAAGAUCAGAUGAAGGUAUCUUCUUUGGAUAUUCUACAUCAAGCAAAGCCUUCAGAGUCUAUAACAAGAAGAGCCAGUCUGUGGAGGAGUCAAUGAAUGUCAAAUUUCAAGACUCAACGCAAGAUGAAUCAAGUCAGACUCAUCAAGAAGAGUCUGAACCUGCUCCAGAACUUCCAAAGCUUACAACUCAAGAAGCAUCUCAGACUCUGGAAAACCAGCAUCAGGAUGUUCGUGAAGAUCUAAACAAAGAGAGAGAUCAUCAACCAGACAAAUCAACAAGUAACUGGAAGCAUAAGUCUAGUCAUCCCAAAGAUCUUAUAAUCGGCGAAAUUAAUGAAGGAAUUCGCACCAGAUCCAAAAGGCGAGAAGAGUCUAGUGCUGUGGCUCUCGUUUCUGAAAUUGAACCAAAAAACAUAGAAGAAGCUUUAUCUGAUGAAAGCUGGAUUGAAGCUAUGCAAGAAGAGCUCAGACAGUUCAGCAUUAAUGAUGUCUGGGAAUUGACAUCCAAACCAAAAGGUAAAACUAUUAUUGGAGCUAAAUGGGUGUUCAGAAACAAGAUGAAUGAGAAAGGAAAAGUCGUACGAAACAAAGCAAGACUCGUGGCCAAGGGAUAUACGCAAGAAGAAAGAAUAGACUAUGAUGAGACUUACGCUCCAGUAGCAAGGUUAGAAGCUAUUCGACUAUUACUUGCGUUUGCUUGUUAUAAGAAUUUCAGGUUAUUCCAAAUGGACGUCAAAAGCGCCUUCCUAAAUGGAUUUAUCCAAGAGGAAGUUUAUGUGGAACAACCACCAGGGUUUGAAGACCCAAAGAAGCCAGACUCAGUCUUCAGACUGAAAAAGGCUUUGUAUGGUUUAAAGCAAGCACCUCGAGCUUGGUACGACAUAUUAAUCUAUGCAGGAUGAAUUUGAAAUGAGUAUGAUGGGAGAGUUAACAUUCUUUCUUGGUCUUCAAGUAAAACAAUUGAAGGAAGGAACUUUUAUUUAUCAAGAAAAAUAUGUUAAUGAUCUUGUCAAAAGAUUUGGACUGGAAAAGUGCAAAAAGACCGACAUACCGAUGUCAAGUUCUUUGAAGAUAGACAAAGAUGAAGAAGGGAAGAAAGUUGAUUAAAAGCUGUACAGGAGCAUCAUUGGUUCACUUCUUUAUCUUACCGCUUCUAGACCUGACAUUUUGUUGAGUGUUUGCAUCUGUGCUAGGUUUCAAUCAGAUCCAAGAGAAUCCCAUCUCAGUGCUGCGAAACACAUCAUUAAAUACAUUGCUUCAUCAUCAAGCAUCGGUCUUUGGUAUCCUAAGAAGGGAGACUUUAAUCUUCUGGGAUAUUCAGACGCAGAUCUGGCCGGUUGCAGAGUUGAUAGAAAAAGCACUUCGGGAACCUGCCAGUUGCUUGGAAGCAGGACAGUGUCUUAGUUUUCAAGAAAACAAAGCACUCUGUCCCUUUCAAUAACAGACGUAGAGUAUGUAGCCCUUGGAAGCUGCUGUUCGCAAAUUCUAUGGAUAAAACAGCAGCUAAGAGACUUUGAAAUUGAAGACUCAUGCACGGAGAUUAAUUGCGACAAUACCAACGCUAUCAACCUCACCAAAAAUCCUAUUCUCCACUCAAGAGCAAAGCAUAUAGAGAUUCGACAUCACUUUAUUAGAGACCAUGUUCAAAAUGGAGAUGUUUCAAUUCAAUUUGUUGACUCAAAGAAUCAACUGGCGGAUAUAUUCACAAAGCCUUUGGAGAAAAAUCAAUUUGAGUCUAUACGUUCCAGACUCAACAUUUUGAGGUAUGAGGAUAUCAAAGUCUAAAGACUUUUAGACUUAGACUUACAAGACUUUAUCUGAAAGACAGUCUUGGUACGUCCGUCAGACUGUAAGUCUUUCUCUCUUGAAUCUCAUCUUGAAAAGGUACGAUCGUCAGACUGUGUUUAAAUUGUUGCUAUAUUUAAUUGACGUAAAUAUUGCAUCGUUUCAUUUUCAAAAAGGAAGUUAUUUUUGAAAUGGCUAUUUUUCAGAAAAAGACAGUUAUUUUGAAAAGGCAUAUUUUUAUUUCCUUUGUGACGGUUCGUUUAUCCCUCUUUUUAACCGAUCGUGCACUGUCGAUUCCUCUUCACUUUUCUCUCAAAAACCCUAGAAAGCAUCGAUCCUUCAUUCCCGUUUGUCUUCUUCGUUUAAUCCUCAAAAAGUUGUCAUCUUUCCUGGGAAAGUCAAGUAAGGAAUCUUCCAAAAACUGAGAAAUAUGUCAUCUUCAAGAAAGUCUUCAAGAAUCGCAAGCAGGGGACCACGGCGGAUGAGUGAGGGGCCUACGCACUUCGAUCUUACUGAAGAAGAAGUGACUCCAGAACAGCAAGCGAGCCCACAACAUUCUCAGCAGCGUCAUUCUCCUCCCUCUAGUCCUAAAGGCGUUGAUCAACAACAACAGGAAGAAAUCAUCGAGGAAGCAGACCCUGUAAGAGUUCAAAAGCCCGCUUAUAUUUACCAGUUAUAUCGUGCCUUAAAAGGAAUUCGUACUCCUUUGAACUACAUUGAUGAGUUUCUUAAAGACAAAGGACAUGGGAACGAAUAUAUCUUUAUGCGAAAAAUGGAAAGUUUGGGAAUUGCUCGAAAAGGGGUGGCUGAGGAAACCCUUGCAAAUAUUGAUAUUGCUAGUAUAAACACCUAGAGGGGGGUGAAUAGGCGCACAAACAAUUUUUCUUGAAUACGGAAGCAAUUCUUAACAGAUUGAUAUACGUUUGAAGUAAAGAGAGUAAGGAAGAGAAAAUUAAACACAGGAUUUAUAGUGGUUCGGAUUAUUCCAAUCCUACGUCCACUCUUCCGCACUGACAGCCAACCGGCUGGAUUUCACUAUAAUAAAAAGAGAAGUUACAGCACAGCUUUGCCUUGAUUCCACAGUGUAGAUGUUCUACCACACCUCCUCAAGGUCUCUCACAAAUAUAGACUCUCUUUUGUAUACAAGUAAUCGCUCAAGAGAUUUAUCUAAACAAAUGGGAGCUUCAGACUUUGGAAUUUUUCUAUCGCGCACACCUCGAACAACUAAGAACGACUUCCUUAUAUACUCCUUUAUGCCAUCAUACCCGUUGGCACUUACCAAAGGAAUUCCUCCAAUCUAACCGUUGGACAUAAUCAAUUAGGAAGAUUGUUCGAGUUAUUAAAGGAACAUGUUGAUAGCCCAUCAAUCCUGUUCGCCCAUACAAUCAGGAUCUCGGUUUCCAUAAGUAGAACCUUCCAAUAAUAUAUAGAUAAUCAUCGAAUCUUCAGUCAUUGAAUCAAUCUUGAUCAAUCAAAGGAUUCUGAUAUGUCUUCUCCAGCCACGAGAUCUUCUCUAGAUGAUAAGGUUAAAUCCUGAACAAACCACUUAGUUCUGGAUAACCUUUCUUCAACGAAUUCGAGACUGUCAAUGAGGAUAGACUUUGAGUCUUGAGUCUGGCUGUCCGGAAGUCUUCAGACUUUAAACUGACAGAGUCUGCAGACUUUCAGACUAGACCGAAUGAUACGUUUUGUCAACUUCAAAACUCUUCAUGAGGAUUUCUCCAACAAUGUCCCCCUUUUUGAUGGUGACAAAACCUUCCUACAGAUUUGGAUAACUUUGACCUGCAAAACAUUUCUCAAACACAUAUGCAUAUCUUAUUGAAAUAAAUGGCUAAUAGAAUAACACUAGAUUCUGCAACCACAGAAAAUAAGUUAGUCCAAUAUAUGAUUAAUCCAUUCAUAAGAUAUCAAUAUUGAUAAAUAGAAGCAGUCAAGUUAAAUCCAAGUCUAGGCAUCCAGACACAAAAUAAAGUCAAAGUCUGUCAAAAACAAACAGACAGUUUAAACAUAAUCCAUCAAAAUAAAAAGAUUGAAAGUUUUGUUUUUCAAAUCAUGAUGCAUCUCUCCCCCUUUUUGUCAACAUUUAAAAAGGAUGAGAUGAAAUCAAGAUUGCUUGGGAACGCGGACAAGCUGGAAAUCUUCCAUAGACUGAACAAUGCCUUCCAGCCUCUUAAAGUCUUCUUUCAGCUGUACAACCUCCUCACUCUUGGCAUUAGCCUGAUUCUGAAUAGAGAGGGCUUGCAUCUUUUCAUUUAAUGAACAGGAAGAAGCUUGACCUUCAUUCUUCAAGCUUUGAACUUCGCAUCCCAAGGCAUAUAUCUGACCUUUCAUCUCCAAUAGAAUAUCCAUGAUUCUACGAAAAUCUGCUCCAUUAUCAGUCUGAGUACUUGCUUCUGCUCGUUCUGAUGGAGUAAAAGCAGACGAUGGUGGAUCAGCAUAAUCUCGCAGGUUUGGCGAUAAAGCUUCAUGACCUUCCUCUGGAAAUUGAGAUGCAUAAACAUCUUCUGGGUCUGCAGGCGAACGACUGACUCCUUCACUUUCAUCUGGAAAUGAAGAUGUCACUCCUUUCUCCUGAACUCCCCCUGUUUUCAUGCCUACAGGUGGAGAAGAGAUUUCCUCAGUUUCUCCUUCUCUUCCUUCUUCUUCAGGUCUUUCUUUCUCUGCUUCUUGUUCUGUUUCUCUUUCUCCUUCCUCCUUCUCCUUUGCUUCUCUUUCUUCUUCCUCUUUCUCUGCCUCUUUCGUCUUUUGUUCCGAUUCUUUCUGAGGAACAGGACGACUUAAGUUCUUUAAAGCCAUUGCAGAGAUGGUGAUGUCAUCAUCAUCAUCUUCAUCCUCAACGAGGAGAACUCUUCUUUUCUUUGAUGGAGCAGCCAUGGGCUCCUUCCCUUUUCUCUUAGCAGCAGAAGAGAGUUGAUGAGACUUGGCAGGAGUCUUGAAUUUCUCCAAUUCCUUGCUCAGUUCUUUCAGACGCAUUUUAGUCACCAUUUUCAGUCCUACCACCAUUUGAUCGCAUGAUCGAACACAAAGGAUUUGUGGAGGCUGAAUAUUCAGAUGUCUGAAUAACUUCGUAACAAGGCUUGGAUAAGGGAGUUGACCUCUGUCCUUCAUCACUGCUCUAUACAUGUGAAACAUGAUAGUAUGAGGGAGAGAAAACUUCUUUCCACAGAGGAUGGCAUACAUCAGCUUUGCCUCAGAGCUUGAAACAUCAGUUUUGGAAGUUGAUUUCGGCCGAAGGCAAUUAAUCACAGUUUUGUGAAGCAGGAUGUUGAAUGCAUUCAUCCUUGAGUAGGUGAUCUUCUCUUCUGUUCUUCUGUCCUUCACCAGUUCAAGAGUGGCCCGAGCAAUGGAAACCUUAAUCGGUUGAUAUCUCCCUCUCUCAACUUCUAACACAUCAGCCAGCAUAUCCAUAUCAACAACAUAGUCUUGAUCUUUGACACUGAAGGAAAAUCUAUUCGCAUCUAAAAAACUAAGAUUUGAAUAGAAAUACGCAGUCAGUUCAGCAUAAGCCUCUGUUGAGUCAGAACAGAACUUUUCCAAUUGAAGAUAAUUGAACUUUUCCCUCAAGUUCACUUUCACAGCAUCCAGAAAAUCAAAGUCCACACUCCUAGGGUUUAUUACCCCUCGCUUCAGCAAUUUCGAGUACAUAUCCUUUUGUUCCUUAGAUCUGAACAAAUCUCCCCUUUUUCCUUGAAUUUCAGCCGCAAUACCCAUUUUCGGUUGAAAUAAACUGAACAUAUUGUCAUCAUCAUUCCCAUCUACAGGAUUUGGCCCCCAGUCACGAGGAUCACUUGGGAUAUUCGCAAGGGUUUCCUCAGCCACCCCUUUACGAGCAAUUCCCAAACUUUUCAUUCUUUUCAGAAAGAUAUAUUCGUUCCUAUAUCCUUUUUCUUUAACAAAACUAUCAAUAUAGUUCAAAGGAGUACGAAUUCCUUUUAAAGCACGAUAUAACUUGUAGAUAAAAGCAGGCUUUUGAGAUCUUACGGGGUCUGCUUCCUCGAUGAUUUCUUCCUGUUGAACAAUGUCUUGAGGACUAGAUGAUGGAGAGUGACGCUGCUGAGAAUGUUGUGGGCUCGGAUGCUGAUCUGGAGAAACUUCAUCUUCCGUAAGAUCAAAGUGAGUAGGCCCUUCACUCAUCUUCUGUGGUCCCCUGCUUGCGAUUCUUGACUUUCUUGAAAACGACAUCUUUCUCAGUCAAUGGAAGAUUUCUUGCUUGACUUUCACAGAAAAGAUGACAACUUUUUAAGAUUGAACGAAGGAGACAAACGGAAGUGGAGGAUCGAUGUUUUCUAGGGUUUUGAGAGUAAAGUGAAUAGAAAGGUGAAGAGUAAUCGAUAGUGUUCGUUCGGUUAAAAAGAGAAGAAAACGAAUCGUCACAAAGGAAAUAAAAUAUGCAUUUUCAAAAUAACUGCCUUUAUCCGGAAAAAUAGCUAUUUCAGAAGUAACUUCCUUUUUGAAAAUGAAUCGUUGCAAAAUUUACGGUUAAUAAAUAUAGCAAUAAUUUAAACAGAGUCUGAUGAUCGUACCUUUUCAAGAUAAGAUUGGAGAGAGAAAGUCUUACAGUCUGAAGGUUGAGACAAGACUGUAGAUAAGGUCUUAUAAGCCUGAGUCUGAAGGUCUUUAGACUUUGAUAUCCUCAUACCUCAAAAUGUUGAGUCUGGUCCGUAUAGACUCAAAUUGAUUUUUGUCCAAAGGCUUUGUGAGUAUAUCAGCCAGUUGAUUCUUUGAGUCAACAAAUUGAAUUGAGACAUCUCCAUUUUGAACAUGAUCUCUAAUGAAGUGAUGUCGAAUCUCUAUAUGCUUUGCUCUUGAGUGGAAAAUUGGAUUUUUGGUGAGGUUGAUAGCGCUGGUGUUGUCGCAAUUAAUCUCCGUGCAUGAGUCUUCAAUUUCAAAAUCUCUUAGCUGUUGUUUUAUCCAUAGAAUUUGCGAACAGCAGCUUCCAAGAGCUACAUACUCUGCUUCUGUUGUUGAAAGGGACACAGUACUUUGCUUCCUAGAAAACCAAGACACUGUUCUGCUUCCAAGCAACUGGCAAGUUCCUGAAGUGCUCUUUCUAUCAACUCUGCAACCGGCCAUAUCUGCGUCUGAAUAACCCAGAAGAUUAAAGUCUCCCUUCUUAGGAUACCAAAGACCGAUGCUUGAUGAUGAAGCGACAUAUUUGAUGAUGCGUUUCGCAGCACUGAGAUGAGAUUCUUUAGGAUCUGAUUGAAACCUUGCACAGAUACAAACACUUAACAAAAUAUCAGGUCUAGAAGCAGUAAGAUAAAGAAGUGAUCCGAUAAUGCUCCUGUACAGUUUUUGAUCAACUUUCUUUCCUUCUUCAUCUUUGUCUAUCUUUAAAGAACUUGACAUUGGUAUGUCGACCUUUUUGCAAUUCUCCAGUCCAAACCUUUUGACAAGAUCAUUGACAUAUUUUUCUUGAAAAAUAAAAGUUCCUUCUUUCAAUUGCUUUAUUUGAAGACCAAGAAAGAAUGUUAAUUCUCCCAUCAUACUCAUUUCAAACUCCUCCUGCAUAGACUUUGAAAAUUUCUUGCACAGACUUUCAUUAGAGGAUCCAAAAAUGAUAUCAUCUACAUAUAUUUGAACAAGUAAGAAACUUUUGUUUUCCUUCUUGAUAAAUAAAGUCGUAUCUACUUUACCUUUGACAAAACCAUUUUGUAAAAGGAAAUUACUUAACCUGUCGUACCAAGCUCGAGGUGCUUGCUUUAAACCAUACAAAACCUUUUUCAGUCUGAAGACUGAGUCUGGCUUCUUUGGGUCUUCAAACCCUGGCGGUUGUUCCACAUAAACUUCCUCAUGGAUAAAUCCAUUUAGAAAUGCGCUUUUGACGUCCAUUUGGAAUAACCUGAAAUUCUUAUAACAAGCAAACGCAAGUAAUAGACGAAUAGCUUCUAACCUUGCUACUGGAGCGUAAGUCUCAUCAUAGUCUAUUCCUUCUUCUUGCGUAUAUCCCUUGGCCACGAGUCUUGCUUUAUUUCGUACGACUUUUCCUUUCUCGUUCAUCUUGUUUCUGAACACCCAUUUGGCUCCAAUAACAGUUUUACCUUUUGGUUUGGAUGUCAAUUCCCAGACAUCAUUUAUGCUGAAUUGUCUGAGCUCUUCUUGCAUAGCUUCAAUCCAGCUUUCAUCAGAUAAAGCUUCUUCUGUGCUCUUUGGUUCAAUUUCAGAAACAAGAGCCACAGCACUAGACUCUUCUCUCCUUUUGGAUCUGGUGCGAAUUCCUUCAUUCAUUUCGCCAAUUAUGAGAUCUUUGGGAUGACUGGAUUUAUGCUUCCAGUUACUUGUUGAUUUGUUUGGUUGAUGAUCUCUUUCUUUAUUUAGAUCUUCACUAACAACCCGAUGCUGGUUUUCCAGAGUCUGAGAUGCUUCUUGAGUUGUAGACUUUGGAGGGUCUGGAGCAGGUUCAGACUCUUCUUGAUGAGUCUGUCUUGAUUCAUCUUGCGUUGAGUCUUGAAAUUUGACAUUCAUUGACUCCUCUACAGACUGACUCUUCUUGUUAUAGACUCUGUAAGCUUUGCUUGAAGUAGAAUAUCCAAGGAAGAUACCUUCAUCUGAUCUUUCUUCAAACUUACCAACACGAUCUUUUGCAUUUUUCAAUAUGAAACAUUUGCAACCAAAUACAUGAAAGUAUGAAACAAUAGGCUUCUUUUCUUUGAAUAACUCAUAAGGGGUUUUCUGAAGAAUAGAUCUUAAGAAGACUCUAUUGAUGAUAUAGCAAGCUGUUGAAACAGCUUCAGCCCAAAAUCGAGAAGUAAUUUUACUUUCAAUUAGAAGAGUUCUAGCCAUUUCUUGAAGAGAUCUGUUCUUUCUUUCCACAACUCCAUUUUGCUGAGGAGUAUAUGGAGAGGAAAACACAUGUUUACAUCCAGAUUCAUCACAGAAUUUUGUAAAAUCUUGAUUUUCAAAUUCUCCUCCGUGAUCUGAUUUUAUACAAGAGAUUACACAUCCUUUUUCAUUUUGAACCUUUUUAGCAAAUUUUUCAAAAUACGAAAAGGUUUCUGACUUACUUGAGAGGAAAUAUACCCAAGUAAAACGGGAGUAAUCAUCAACAAUUACUAGACAAUACUUCUUACCCCCAAUACUCUGAGUCCUGGUUGGUCCGAAGAGAUCCAUAUGCAGCAACUGCAGAACAUGAUUAGUAGAGACAUGAUUUAUUGGCUUAAAAGAAUUUCUUACCUGCUUUCCCAAAAUACAUGGAGUGCAUGAAUCAGUCUUUUGGUAUGGCAAUUUGGGUAGAUCUCGAACAAGCUGCUUUGAUGAGAUUUUGGCUAAUUGCUUCAUGUUGACAUGACCAAGCUUUUUGUGCCAUAAGCUUGCUUCGUCUUGAAUUGAGAUAAGACAUUGCGAUUCAUUUGGUUUCACAUCCAGAAGAUAGAUGUUUCCAUGUCUUCGACCCAGAAAAGAUUGAGUAGAGUCUUUACUGACUCCAGAACAUGUCCCUUCUUGAAAGAAUAUCUUGAAACCAGUAUCACACAAUUGACUAAUGCUGAGAAGAUUGUAAUUGAGUCCUUCCACCAAGGAAACAUUACUUAUUGUGAGAGUCCCAAUUUUCACGGUUCCGAAUCCCACAAUACUUCCUUUGUUGUUUCCUCCAAAUGAAACUUUUCCACCAUUUACUUGAGCAAGCUUUAUAAAACAAUUUGAGUCUCCUGUCAUGUGUCUUGAGCAACCGCUGUCAAGAUACCACUUUACCUGUUUCUUGAUGGAGACCUGCAUUUAAUAAAGAGUCUCAAGCUUUCUUUGGUACCCAAACUUUCUUGGGUCCUUUGGUGUUAGUAAGAUAAACAGUAUUAGCCCAUACUCUUUUAAUAGGUUUCCAUACCAAAGGACACUCUUUUUCAAAGUGUUCCUUACUGUUGCACUUAGAACAUCUGAGAGAAUUUCUUCCUACAGGUUUUACAAAGACUUUCUUAAAAUGAUUUUUGUAAACUUCACUCGAAAGAAAGAAUUUUCUCAAGUUUUUCAGACCCUAUUGAAAAUUUCUUUGAUAUAUUUGAUAAGUCUGUUUUCAAGAAAGCAUUUUCUUUUAAAAGAUUUCCUUCUUUUUCUUUAAGAUUAGAAACAGACAAGUCUAAGCUUUUAACUCUUUCUGUUAAAACAUUUUCCUUUUGUUUUAGAGCUAAGUUUUCCCUUUUUAAUUUGGAAAUUCUUUUGAGAGAAAUCUUAAGACUUAAGCAUAGUUCAUUAAUAUAAUUAGAAACUUUGACAGGAAUCUUAAAAUUACUUGCCUCAAAUUCACUGUCUGAGUCUGAUCCUGAGUCUGAUCCAGAGUCUGAGUCUGAUCGUGCCAUCAGACAUAGAUUUGCAUAUUCAUUAUCACUUUCUUCACACUCAGUAUCACUCCAGGUUUCAGCUUUGAGAGCUUUUCGAAACUUUUCAGCCUUUCCUUUCUUCUUUUUUAGAAGAGGACAGUUGGGUCUGAUGUGUCCCUUCUUCUUGCAUUCAAAGCAGACUAUAUCUUUAUUUGGUUCCUCAUCAUCAACAGACUUGGUCUGCUGUCUUUGAAAGCCUGGUUUCUUUGAGUUGAACCUUCUCCCUUUUCUAUUUAGUUUUCUGAAUCUUCUUAUCAUGAGAGCAAGCUCCUCAUCGUCCAUAUCAUCUUCAGAAUCUGUAACAUCAGAAUCAUCAUUUGAUUUUAAUGCAAUGGAUUUCUUACCUCUUGGAUCUUCUUCUUCAUUUAUCCUUUCCACUUCAUAGGACUGAAGCGUUCCAAUAAGCUCAUCAACAGACAGUGGCAUAAUUCUCUGCGUCUCUCUUAUCGAAGUCUUUAUGUGAUUCCAAUCCUUGGAGAGUCCACGCAGAAGCUUGUUUACCUUCAUGGGAUCAGAAGUUGGUUGACCUUGAUUUUCAAGACCAUUCACAAUAUCUGUAAAACGACUAAACAUAUCAGAUAUUGAUUCUCCUGGUUUCAUUCUAAAGGCUUCAUAUUGACCGAGAAGAAUGUUGAUUCUUGUUUCCUUCACUCGAUCUGUUCCUUCAUAAGUGAUAUGCAAUCUGUCCCAAACUUCUUUUGCUGUACCACAAGAAGAUAUUCUAUUAUACUCAGUUGGUGAUAAAGCACAAUAUAAAGAGUAAAUUGCUUUUGCAUCGAGUGUUUGUCUUUUGGUUAUUUCUUCCUGAGACAAUCCGCUGGAUUCUUCAGUAUCUUUUCCUCUUUCAGAGACUGGUGCAGUGGUAGGAAUUAUUCCUUUUUCUACAACAUCCCAUUCCAGAGGAUCCUUUGAUCGUAGGAAAGCUUUCAUCUUGUUCUUCCAGAUGUUGUAAUCCUUUCCAUCAAAGUAAGGUGGUCUGGUAUUGCUUUGCCCUUCCAUCAGCCCUGGUGCUAGCAUACUAGCCAUGGAUCUUUUACUAUGAAGUAAAACACUUCAAAUAAAGUAAGUACACAGGCUCUGAUACCAAUUGAUAUUGCUAGUAUAAACACCUAGAGGGGGGUGAAUAGGCGCACAAACAAUUUUUCUUGAAUACGGAAGCAAUUCUUAACAGAUUGAUAUACGUUUGAAGUAAAGAGAGUAAGGAAGAGAAAAUUAAACACAGGAUUUAUAGUGGUUCGGAUUAUUCCAAUCCUACGUCCACUCUUCCGCACUGACAGCCCACCGGCUGGAUUUUACUAUAAUCAAAAGAGAAGUUACAGCACAGCUUUGCCUUGAUUCCACAGUGUAGAUGUUCUACCACACCUCCUCAAGGUCUCUCACAAAUAUAGACUCUCUUUUGUAUACAAGUAAUCGCUCAAGAGAUUUAUCUAAACAAAUGGGAGCUUCAGACUUUGGAAUUUUUCUAUCGCGCACACCUCGAACAACUAAGAACGACUUCCUUAUAUACUCCUUUAUGCCAUCAUACCCGUUGGCACUUACCAAAGGAAUUCCUCCAAUCUAACCGUUGGACAUAAUCAAUUAGGAAGAUUGUUCGAGUUAUUAAAGGAACAUGUUGAUAGCCCAUCAAUCCUGUUCGCCCAUACAAUCAGGAUCUCGGUUUCCAUAAGUAGAACCUUCCAAUAAUAUAUAGAUAAUCAUCGAAUCUUCAGUCAUUGAAUCAAUCUUGAUCAAUCAAAGGAUUCUGAUAUGUCUUCUCCAGCCACGAGAUCUUCUCUAGAUGAUAAGGUUAAAUCCUGAACAAACCACUUAGUUCUGGAUAACCUUUCUUCAACGAAUUCGAGACUGUCAAUGAGGAUAGACUUUGAGUCUUGAGUCUGGCUGUCCGGAAGUCUUCAGACUUUAAACUGACAGAGUCUGCAGACUUUCAGACUAGACCGAAGGAUACGUUUUGUCAACUUCAAAACUCUUCAUGAGGAUUUCUCCAACAAAUAUCCCAAGUGAUCCUCGUGACUGGGGGCCGAAUCUUGUGGAUGAUGAUGACAAAUUAUUCAGUCAAUUUCAACCAAAAAUGGGUGUUGCGGUUGAAAAUCAAGGGAAAAGGGGAGAUUUGUUCAGAUCGAAGGAGCAAAAGGAUCUGUACUCGAAAUUAUUGAAGCGUGGGGUAAUAAACCCUAGGAGUGUUGAUUUUGAUUUUCUGGAUGCUGUGAAUAUGAACUUGAGGGAAAAGUUCAGUUAUCUUCAACUCGAAAAGUUCUGCUCUGACUCUACAGAGGCAUAUGCUGAAUUAACUGCAUAUUUCUAUUCAAAUCUAAGCUUUUUAGAUGCGAAUAGAUUCUCUUUCAGCGUUAAAGACCAAGACUAUGUUGUGGAUAUGAAUAUGCUGGCAGAUGUGUUAGAAGUCGAAAGAGGAAGAUAUCAACCAAUCAAAGUUUCCAUUGCUCGGGCCACACUUGAACUGGUGAAGGACAGGAGAACAAAUGAAAAUAUCACCUACUUAAGGAUGGGUGCAUUCAACAUCUUGCUUCACAAGAUUGUGAUUAAUUGCCUCCGACCGAAAUCAACUUCCAAGACUGAUGUUUCAAGUUCAGAGGCCAAGCUGAUGUAUGCCAUUCUCUUUGGAAAAAGGUUUUCUCUCCCUCACACUGUGAUGUUUCACAUGUAUAGAGCAAUGCUGAAGGACAGAGGUCAACUCCCUUACCCAAGCCUUGUUACGAAGUUAUUCAGACAUCUGAAUAUUCAGCCUCCACAAAUCUUUUGUGUUCGACCAUGCGAUAAUAUUGUGGUAGGACUGAAAAUGGUGACCAAAAUGCGUCUGAAGGAACUGAGCAAGGAGUUGGAGAAAUUCAAGGAGAAGACUCCUGCAAAAUCUCAUCAAAUCUCUUCUGCAGCUAAAAGAAAAGGGAAGGAGCCCAUGGUUGCUCCAUCCAAGAGAAGAAGAGCUCUCCUCGUUGAGGAUGAAGAUGAUGAGGAAGACAUCACCAUCUCUGCAUUGGCUUUGAAGAAUUUAAGUCGUCCUGUUCCACAGAAAGAAUUAGAACAAAUGACGAAAGAAGCAGAGGAGAAGGAAGAAGAAGAAAUAGAAGCUGAAAAAGAAACAGAGGAGGAAAGACCAUAAGAAGAAAGAAGAGAAGAAGGAGAACCUGAGGAACACUCUUCUCCACCUGUAGGCAUGGAAAUAGGGGGAGAUCAGCAGAAAGGAGUGAAGUCUUCAUGUCCCGAUGCAAGUGAAGGAGUCAGUCGCUCACCAGCAGACCUAGAGGAUGUUUAUGCAUCUCAGUUUCCAGAAGAAGGUCAUGAAGUUUCAUCGCCAAACCUGCGAGAUUAUGCUGAUCUACCAUCGUCUGCAUUUACUCCAUCAGAUCGAGCCGAAGCAAGUACUCAGACUGAUAAUGGAGCAGAUUUUCGCAGAAUCAUGGAUAUUCUCUUGGAGAUGCGAGGUCAAAUUUAUGCCUUGGGAUGCGAAGUUCAAAGCUUGAAGAAUGAAGGUCAAGCUUCUUCCUGUUCAGUGAAUGAUAAAAUGCAAGCCCUCUCUGUUCAGAAUCAGGCCAAUGCCAAGAGUGAGGAGAUUGCACAACUAAAGGAAGACUUUAAAAGGCUGGAAGGCAUCGUUCAGUCUAUGGAAGAUUUCCAGCUUGUCCGCGUUCCCAAGCAAUCUUGACUUCAUCUCAUCCUUUUUAAUGAUGACAAAAAGGGGGAGAGAUGCAAGAUUUGAUCAAAAAAAUUUCAUUCAUUAAACUUUUAAUUGUUUGUUGGAUUGUUUUGUGGUUUAAACUCUGUUUGACUUUGUUUUGUGUCUGGAUGAGAACUGAACUAGACUUGGACUUGACUACUUCUAUUAACCAAUAUUGAUAUCUUAUGAAUGGCUUCAUCAUAUACUGGACUAACCUAUUUUCUGUGGUUGCAGAUCCUAGUGUUAUUCUGUUAGCCAUUUAUCUCUAUAAGAUAUGCAUAUGUGUUUGAGAAAUGUUUUGCAGGUCAAAGAUAUCCAAAUCUGCAGGAAAGUUUUGUCACCAUAAAAAAGGGGGAGAUUAUUGGAGAAAUCUUCUUGAAGUGUUUUGAAGUUGACAAAACGUUUCUAUCAGUCUAGUCUGAAGGCUUGCAGACUCUGCUAUUUAAAGUCUGAAGACCUCCAGACAGCCAGACUCAAGACUCAAAGUCUAUCCUCAUUGACAGUCUCUAAUCCGUUGAAGAAAGGUUAUCCAGAACUGGAUGUUUCGUUAAGGAUUUAACCUUAUCAACUGGAGAAGAUCUCGUGGCUGGAGAAGACAUAACAGAGUCCUUUGAUUGAUCUAAGAUUGACUCGAUAAUUGAAGAUCCGGUGAUUGCCUAAAUAUUAUUGGAAGGUUCUGCUUAUGGAAACCGAGAUCCUGAUUGUAUGGGCGAACAUGAUUGAUGGGCUAUCAACACGUUCCUUUAAUAGCUUGAACAAUCUUCCUAAUUGAUUCCGUCCAACGGGUAGAUUGGAGGAAUUCCUUUGAUAAGUGCCAACGGGUAUGAUGGCAUAAAGGAGUAUAUAAGGAAGACUGUCUUAGUUGUUCAAGGUGUGCGCGAUAGAAGAAUUCCAAAGUCUGAAGCUCCUUUUUUGUUUAGACAAAUCCUUUGAGCGAAUACUUGUAUACGAAAGAGAGAGUCUAUAUUUGUGAGAAAUCUUGAGGAGGUGUGGUAGAACAUCUACACUGUGGAAUCAAGGCAAAGCUGUGCUGUAACUUCUCUUUUGUUCAUAGUGGAAUCCAGCCAAUAGGCUGUUAGUGAAGAAGAGUGGACGUAGGCUUGAUAUAAGCCGAACCACUAUAAACUGCGUGUUCAAUUUUCUCUUCUCUCAGUCUUACUUUGAUUAUCGUUUCCAUCAACUGUCUAGUAUUGUGCAAUUGUUGAAGAAAAAUCCUCUAUAUACCUAUUCACCCCCCUCUAGGUACUCAUACUAGCAAUAUCACCAUCUUCUUCCGGACACGCGUGUCAAAACAUGUUGAGAAACGUUGACUGCGUGUCCGACCGUGUCCGACACGCUUUGACACGUGUCGGACAUGACAUAGAAGCAUGGGGAACAUGUCUGUGUUUCAUAGGGAGGGACGUGGGGAUUGGGGACAUUACAAGUAUAUUUUGGUGGGAAAAAUAAUCUAAUUGUUGGUUCAACUUCUAAACCAAUCUCAUUUUCUUUUGUUCAACAACAAGAUGGAGAAGACUCCAAAAAGGUAUCUUGCCACUUCUGGGCUUUCUAAGCCUGUAACUAUCAGCUGUGCUAGAUUUCUCAGCUACGCGGGAAAAAGAAACGAAAGGAGAUGGUUCAUGAUUUCACUCUAUGUACAAUAGUAGGACGAAGUCCGGAGUUUUGGUUGAAGAAGUCAAUAAUUUAAGGAUAAAAAUCUAAGUUUUGUCAGCGAUCAUUGUACAUGAAAUGCAUACUCAUCUAAAACUUGUCUAAAUUUAUUAAGUGCAUUUAAUAAAUUCAUUAACCUUCUCUUAAGUUUUCCGUUCCCUUUCUCUAUUAUAUCCAUUCACGUGCACUCAAUACUUUUCAAUUUUCAUGUAUCCAUUUGCAUGCUAGAGUUAAGGACGAUGGUCACUUACAUUCAAUUUGUUUUUUUUUUUUUUUGGGUAUGCCUGGCCUUUUUUUCACCUAUAAGAGGGUAGAAUAUUUGUUAUUCUGGUCUUUAUGUGCAUUUCAUCUCCUUUUUUUCUCCUCAGAAAUGGGUCUUAGUUGCAAAAUUAAUUCAUCAGAAAUCGAUUUUUCUUUUUCCAAUUUGAUCUUGACUUGCUAUUGAAUGGAUAAUCGGUUAUCAUCACUCCCAAUUAGAUUAGAAAUAUGACUACAUCUCAAUAUAUCAAUUUACAUCCGAACUGUAAAAAAUGAGACUCGGCAAUAAUCUAUUUCUUAUGUAUGGAUCAUCUUUCCUACUGGUAUCUCGAAAAGCAAAUGAUUUUUUUUUUUUGGCAUAAACAUUUUUGUUGAGUGUCUUAAAAAAUUAACUACAUUUAAAAAUGCAGCAAAAAUACAAAGAGAUAAGAGGAAUGGUGAGGGAUUUUGAUUUCACAUGAAUUAGCAAAAACGAUUGAGAACUUAUGAGCUGAAACUUUCUUCUAUGCAAUCCAUCUUAAAUGACAAUAUAAUAGCCAACCUGGCGAGGUUUUUUUUUUUUUUUUUUACUAUUUAGGAAUUUUAUAUUAUGCUUUCCAGAUAGUAGUGUACGUAAUUGAUGAACAAACAAAAGAUCAAAAAAAUAUUUAAUAACCGACUUAAUACUACCAUAGAAGUUUCAACACAUAUCACAAAUAUGAUAUAACCAUAUUCUUGCAUGUGGUAGCUUAUUAACUAUAAAUGUAUCUAUAACACACGGGUUUGAAAACUAGUCUAAUUUAUAAUAGGGGCUUCUGAACAUUAAAUGCAUUCAAUUUAAUGAGAAACAUUCUUUUCUUAUCCAAAUUGAAGUUUUAUAUUUUUUUUUUCACUUGAAAUAGAAUUAGUCGCAGAAAAGAGUGGGAAUAUGCGAAACAAGAUUCAAGAAUAGAAAAAAAAAUGAUUUAAUAACAGUAAAGUUGACUAUGAUCUGCAUAAUAUAUUAUUUGAUAGAAAAAGUACAUAAUGACUAACAUGCAUCAAUACCAUAACAUAUAGCGAAAAAUUACUUUGGUUUAAUCAGAUACAAAAUUUAGUAAAGUAAAAAUAUUAGAGUUGAUUUUGCUUGACUAAAGAAUGAUGAUUGCUUAAAAAUGACAAUAUUUGCGCCAAAUUAAAAGGAAAAAUAAUCUACGAUAAUUCAAUUUUAAUAAAAUAUGAUAUAUAAGAUGUUUGAUGACUCAAAGUGUAUUUAUAAUUUGUAUGUAAGAUAAAUGAACCUAUCUCAGUCCAUCAUAUAAUAAGAGACGCAUUUUUCUGAUUUUUUCUUCGAUUGUUUAGAUUAUGUCACCGUUAUCACUCUAAAAUAUUAAAUUCCCAUAUUAGUUAGAAGUGAAAAAAUUGGACAAUGAAGUAACAUAGAUUUCUUCUAUUUUGAAAUAUAAAACUCUUACAAAACAUAGGGGAGUGCACUAGCUAUAUUAAAAGGAGUAAUAUUAGUAUACACUAUCGAUGUAAAAAGAUAGUUACACAAGACAUCACAAACUGUGAAGGAGUUCCAUAAUUCAUGUCACUAAAACAAACAAGUACUGUAUAGUGUUCUGAGGUAUGCUCAGACCAUUAAAAUAGAAGUAAUAAAAUACUGAAUUGCAUCAUCUUGUAUGACGACUCCAAAUUCACAUUAACGGCUCAAGGGCUAGUAGUAGCGACAGCUGUGUCCUUGGGAAUUGUGGGAACGAAAGGCAAUGUUGGCUUGGGAAAAUCAGGAAGAUGAGGCAAUUCAGGCACUUCUGACAAUUCCGGCUUCGGUAUUGUUGGAAAUUCAGGCUUGGGUAGCUCAGGAAGCGAUGGCAAUUCGACUUUCGGUAGUGAUGAGAAUUCCGGCUUUGGCAAGCUAGGGAUGUCAGGAAGUUGAGGCAAUUCGGGCUUCGGCAAUUCCGGCACUUUUAACAACUCUGGCUUUGGUAUUGCUGGAAAUUCAGGCUUUGGCAGUUCAGGAAGCGGCGGCAAUUCGACUUUUGGCAAUGAUGGGAAUUCGGGCUUUGGCAAGCUAGGGAUGUCAAGAAGGUGAGGUAAUUCAGGCUUUGGCAAUUCGGGCACUUCAGGCAAGGUCGCCUCCAAAAGUUGGCGAGCUCUGACUGGGUUCUCACCAAUCGUCAAAGACAGAGCGAGGACAAACAAUGCCAAAAGGUGCGCGAGUCCAUGAUGGUUCGUCAUUGGAGAAUCAAUCGACUAGCAAAUUCAAAAGCUUUGAGUGAAGAAGCGGCGAAUCUCAAGUGAGAGAAGG
Molecule: long non-coding RNA, 45706 nt
Filed under: Eucalyptus grandis
Lineage: Eukaryota; Viridiplantae; Streptophyta; Magnoliopsida; Myrtales; Myrtaceae
Description: long non-coding RNA (EGRA_LNC004134)
Source: RNAcentral